RNAcentral lists this long non-coding RNA (68698 nucleotides) under Malus domestica (apple). RNAcentral describes it as "long non-coding RNA (MDOM_LNC002111)". Lineage: Eukaryota; Viridiplantae; Streptophyta; Magnoliopsida; Rosales; Rosaceae. The record is from RNAcentral.
UUGGGAUUCCUCCAUUUAGCCUAGGAAAAGUAUUACUACUUGGAAAGCUUUGCAUGGACGUCUUCUUACUGAUGAUCACUUUCAGCAUCAUGGAGUGCCUUUGGUUUCUAUUUGUUGUUUUUGUUCGAAUGCUGCCGAGUCUGUUUUGCACUUAUUUUUUGAGUGCCCAUUUAUUCAAGAAAUUUGGAAUUGGUUGUCACUCCUUUUUAAUCGACCAUAUGUACAACGUGGUUCCUUGGAAAAUCUUUUUUCAUCCCCUUUCCUUGUUGCUUUGUCUUCCUCUUCUUGCCGUUUGUGGGUGCUUGUUGUUUGUAAUGCUAUUUGGAGCAUAUGGUCUUUACAAAACAAGAUUCGUUUUGAGGGUGCUAAGCUAUGUAUGGCUCAUGUCAAGGCGAGAAUUCUUACGUUUCUAAAGAAUCUGCCUCUUUGGUUUUUUCUUCGGUCCCUUCUACGUCAAGUGCUCCUAUUUUUCAGACUUUAGGUGUUUCUCCUUUGUUGUCUUCUACCCCACAUUUCAUUCCUGUUGUAUGGAAACCUCCUAGGGUGGGGUACCAUGGAUCAAGGUGAAUGUUGAUGGGUCAUUCAAGUCUACAGGUCGUGCAGGUUAUGGUGGUGUAUUUUGGGACUCUCAAGGUAUUGCUUUGGGUGCUUUUGCAUCAUCCACGAAUUUUUGUAGUUCAAUUGUAGCUGAGGUUCUUGCUAUAAUUGAGGCUAUUCGAGUUGCCUGGGUGCCUGAACGCCAUCACAUUUGGUUGGAGACGGACUCAACUACGGUGAUUCACUACUUAAACUCUCCCUAGUUCUACUAUUCCUUGGUAUUUGCGUGUUGAUUGGAGCAAUUGCUUGUGGCAGAUUAGGCAUAUGCAUGUUUUUGUUUCCCAUAUUUUUUGCGAGGGCAACUGUGUAGCUGAUGCCUUAGCUAACUUUGGUGCAAAUCACGAUGCAUGUUACUGGUGGUCCAACGUUUCUUCAUGUGCAGCGUUUGCUUAUAUUUAUGAUCUUUCUGCUUCUACUAGCUAUCGUUUCAGAUGAUUUUUUUUCAUAUGUUUUCUUUGUAAGUGGGGUUCCCUUAUCAUGUUACUUGCUAUGUUAGUUCCAUCAGUGAGGUUUGACUUUAUGUCCCCCUCAUUUGUAUUUCAUUUUUAUCUUAUUAAGUUUAUUUCAAAAAAAAAAAAAAAAUUUAUACAAACGAUAUUGUGGGCUUGUAGAGUCGAUUCGAGGACCUUGAUCCUUGAGUGCUGGAGUAAAUGGUUGCUUUCCUUUUUGUUACUGUAAGAUGAAGCUAAGCAUAAUAUGUGGUUCAAGUUUGAGUUCCGUAUCAAAAACGUAGGUUUACUCCAAAUCUAGUAAGGGGAAUCUAUUCAAUCGGAAGAUAGCUCUCAUGUGUUACAUGACAUUACAUCUCUUUAUACAAAGUGACGUGCACCAAACACUUUGUACUUCUCUUUAUUCAAUAUUGAAUAUAGUAAAAUAUUACUGGCUGAGGUUUUAAUAGUUUCGAAUCAUCCCUCUUCUUAAUAAUAAUAAAUUUAAAAAGAAAAAGUUAUCUCCAUCAAUGGACUCUUUGAAUAAUUUAUUGAGUUAAAAGUCGGAGAGAAAUUACAAUAACAUAAUUCCAACUCUGAUUUCUAUCAAACUUAAUCCCAACUAGACUUAUUUUAAAGAACAGCUUUUAUCUCUGUGCAACUUGAAUUUCUUCAAGUAGGGUCCGUCUGGCGGCCAUGAUUCCUUAGCUCUUCACAUGUGGCACCAAUGAGAAAUGCAAAUGAAAUAAUGUGCAUAUUUAAAUUAAAAAAGCUAAAGCUGAUUUAAUCAAUCGAACCCUUACAGAUUGAAAGAAAUCAAAAUAGAAUCUCUUCCAAAAGAUCUCUGCGCAGUAGCUAUGAGCUAAGUUCAACAUAGGUGAAGGUCUAAAACAAUUUUCACUAGUAGAAAAAAGCUCAUCUACCACGGUCAAUGCCCAUGAUAGAUUGCAAUCCACCACGGGCACUGUGCCCGUUAGUAAUCUGGAUGUGAUAGAAAAUCUUAGUUUCUACCACGGACUAUGCCCGUUGUCAAAUGUGAAAUAAACACGGAUUGUGCCCGUGGUAGAUUGUGAUCUAACACCACAUUCAUUAUAGCCGUUGUGAAUUACAAAUUGACCACGGCUAAUGACCGUCAUAAAAAAAUUUCCAAAAAUAAAAAAAUAAUAAUAAUAAAUCAUUUAAUAUAUAAACAAAUUUACUACAAUAUAAUAAUUACAUAAACAAAUCGCAAAAUCAAAUAUUACAAACUGCACACUAAAGCUAACGAUGAGUUAUACUAGAAAUACCAAACUAUCCACAAAGUAUCAAAUAUGCCUCCAAUAACAAGAACACUUGAAGACUUCAGAUUUCUUUGAACAUCUCCAAACAAAGGACCUUGAGAGUGAACUAUUGCCCCUAAUACUUGAGCCUCAACAAUUGCUGACUCUCUAUUUGCAUGGACAUAAGCAUAUGGAUCACAAGAAAAAAAAUCUUGGUACUCGUAUAGGUGGAAAUAUACAUUUGAUCUCAAUCAAGAAAAGUGAAUAGAGUUUCUGCCUCUAAACCUUUCUACUCAUGCAUUCCUUUGCAAUUGAACUCUUGACAAAAUUAUAAUAAGAGGAGUCCUUGAGAAAAGAUAAAACACAUGAUUAGAUUAUGAACCUACUAAAUAGAGCCACUACGUAUAAUUCUGCAAAUAUAUACUAUACAAGAUUAACCAAACCAAUACCAUAAACAUAGAUUUUAUCUUUUUAUAAACCAUAAACAAUAGUGACCAUAUCGAAAGUAAAAUCUAAUAAACAAUAGAUAUUUCAGAAAUUGAAAUUAUAGAAAUAUACAGAGGACGCACCUGUAGAAGUUAAACAUAGAAUCACAAUUUCAUCAAUGGUGAAUUAACUGUGAUAAAUGUGGUGCUGUCUUGUAGUGUUUGCUCAAAAUUUUCUGAAAACAGUUGUAGCUCAUGAAAUUUUUUUCGAGCUAGGGUUUUUGAAGUCUGUGGAAGAAAGGACCAAGUGAGUUGAGAGCUAACCUCUCAUUCUAAACCCGAGACGGCUCACACAGAGCACACAUCUCACAAUAAUAGGACACGAAGACAAGGUCACAUAGUAAUUUAAAAAAUGCACGUGCACAGACAUGAUUAGAAUGAAAUCACUAAUCAAGAUACAUGAAGAUACCAGCUUAAAAUGCAGAUGCAUGAACAAAUCUGCCAAAACUAGAGAGGCUUGUUGUUAUAAUUUGGCAAAGCAAUCAAUAGCUUGAUCUCCACAAAAUGACAAUGCAAAAUGAGAAUGAAAUGAAAGCUUUGCAUUCUAAAUACUUCCUGAAGAUUUGUAGUUACAUACAAAUUUACGGUCCUUAUUAUAUACCAAGAAAAGGAAACACAAAACUUAUGGCCUUUAUUUUUGUUAGGAGUUUUUAGGAUGAGAAGCAAAACCCGUUUUAUUUAUGCCUAAACAAAUAAUUAAAUGCAAAUGGAAAUGCACUAAUCUGAUGUUUUACUUUUACCGUUUUAAAUUAAUCCCAAAAGUAAUAAGCUCACAUUUACUUGAUUUAUUUAAAAAGAUUGUUUCUGAACACACUUUUCCAUAAGUUGGGAGACAAGCACAAAAGAUGUUACUUGCUAGGCAUACCAAUUUAUUCAUACACUCCCCUUCCCGAAUUGAGCACCCUAAAUGUAAAGGCAGUUCACCAUUACUUUUUGUAAUGCCCUUCAAACCAAUAAAUAUUCUUUUACCCAAACAUAAAUAUCCCAAUUUUAUGUUGACAAGAACAAAUUAGUUCGAUUGAAAUAGAAGACUGGACAACAAGUAAAUAUUUUGUUUAGAAAUUUAUAAUUGAUCUAAGUCUUUCCUGUAAAUGAUAAUUGCCGAUCAUGGCCACUAAAUUUUGCAAACAUAAUUAUAAUAGUAUAUAUUGCGACACCUAUAGCAGUCUUCCAUGGCGAUUUUUAACAAAACGGUCACUAAAAUCGGGGAGAGACUAGACGGCCACUUGGUGGUCUAGGUGGCGGUAGGCAGCACGCUAGGCGGUUUCAAGUUUUUUUUUUAAUUAAGUUAAAGUGCAUAACCUAUUGACACACAUCCCUCUGAACUCAUUCUUUAUCUACAACGAAUCGUGAUGGAUGAGAUGAGAGUUGAAUUAACAAUGCAAGGCUUUUGAAUUGCUAAUUUGCUAACUGAAUUAGGAUCAGGUGGCUUUUCAAUUAGAAUCAAUUGUUUCAGUUGUGAAAACUGUUCCUAUAUAUAUAAUUUGUUAAUUUGCUUACUAAGCUUAUUGGCUUUUGAAUUGUAUAUUUUCUUACUGAGCUUAUUUUCUUUUAUUGCAUUUUAUCUUUUUUUUAUUCUCAACAUAAGUAUAGUUUUUUAGAGUAAAUAGGUAUUUAUUUAUAUGAUACAAUGAUAAAUUUACUUAAAUCCGCAAUCCACCACCCGACUAGCAUCUGACGUCUUUUGGAACCAUUAUAAUACUUAAUACUAAUAUCAUCUUUAUCAUUUUUGACACAAAACAAAACUAAUGAAAGUCACACGCUAUACCUACUAUAAUACCAUUCUUAUAGAUUUGUUAAUACAAUAGUAGAUAUAGACAACAUACACCCUUUAAAAAUGGUAAUUUCUUUAUUAGAUAGAAAAUAUAUCCAUUUGAGAGUUUCGAUUUAUACUAUCUGAAAAAACAUACAAGACAAUCAUUACCUUGUUUUUAGAAGGAUUGUUCUAUGUACAUGAGUAAUUUCAUGCCACUAAAUCAUAUGAGGCAAAGAUAAUACAAAAAUAUAUUCGGACAUGACAUAACCACCAUAGAAUGAGCAUAUAAAAAAUUUAUACCAACAUCUAAUUAAAUGGGUCAACGUAACAAUUUGACAGUCUUUUAUUUGUUCAUAACGUCUCUCCUUAGUUUUAUUUAAUUUUAGUAAGCAAUGUAUGAUUGAUGGUUUAAGCUGAAAUUUGGAAAACAAGCCUUUGUAUCCCUUUAUAUUAAUUGUUUUAUUUUGGAAGGGUGAGCUUAGCCUCACAAUGAGAAGGUAAUAAUGUGGUUUAAAUUUUUCUUUGACGAGAAUCAAACCUAAGACCUCUCUCACUUACAAGUGAAGAGGAAUAUCACUAGAUGACAUGUCUAGUAGUACUAUUGACAAGGCAAAAGUAAAAACUCAAUAUUUUUAAAUUGACCAAAAAAAAAUGGUAAAAUAGUUAUGGUAAUAGCGCUUGGGCAUCAGUUUACAUUGAACUUUACCACAUUGUCAUUCAAGGCAACGUACUAAAUUGAAGAAACAAACUACCAAAAGCAGUUUCUGAGCUUUUGUUAACUCAUAAACCUCACCAGUGCCCACUUUGUAAACACCUGCAGUGCCCUUACUAAUUUUCAUCUCUCUCUCUUUCUCUCUCUCUCUCUCUCUCUCUCUCUCUCUCUCUCUCUCACACACACACACACACACACACAGACACACACACACAUCUCCUGUGUUACCGAAGAAACUGACUGCAUUUUCCGACAUUGACUGACCCGCAAGUCACCCGGCUCCGACACUCGGCCAGGCCCGGCGGCGAGCUAAGCUGCCUGCAGUGAACCAUUUAACCUUUUUUGUAAGCCAUUCACUUAAUCCAUGCAUUGCAUAUAUUAGUGGUCACAUUUCAUUUUAUAUCACAAGGAUUUUCUCAAGAUAUGAUCAUUUGUUGCCAUUUAAACCACAAUUAAAUAAGCCAAUUUACACAGAUUCAGAAGAUAUGUAAUUUCUCAGUUACUCUGCAUUUUCCUGCUUUAAUUUGGUUUCUAUGUCAUUCAUGCUUUCCAUGUUUUCCAUGACACAAAACAUGGUUGGCCGUACCAUUUGUGGAAUAUCUGGUUUGCAUGAUUUCGAGCAUUAAUCACUGAGAUGCUGCACUGCAUUUUCCAAUCUCUCGAGGAAAAAUUCUCUUUAAUGUGUGUAUUUAUAUUCUGCACUGAAUGUUAGCUAGGAGGGAUUUGCAUUUCAGUGUUUCCGCACCCGGUGUUUCACACAAUGGGGAUGAGCUGAGAAAUCGGACACUUUCGUUGUUUCCACAAAACUUAUCUGCUAAAGGGUGACACCAGAGUGUUAUAUAGAGGAAAAAAGAUAAAUGAAACAAAGAAGUGGAAAGAGAGAGAGUUUGUAAAUUGAAGGGACUCAAGGAUGAAGUUUGGAGGGGGGUUUAUUCCCCAGGAUGACGAUCUACGAUUCAAGGAUCCAUGGGUACCUGUGACUCCAGAUAAGCUGAUUCGGGCAAAGCCUCGUCCAAUACCAGUCGACCCCCUCAGGAACCUCCUGCAAGGAGCAAACUGGUAGCAACAGCUGACUGGAAUUUCAAGGGAGCAUGUACAGGUCGGUGCUAGCUACAAUGGCAUGAAUCAAGCUGUUAACCCAAAUGGACAGCUACUUAGAAAUGGAGGGCUGUAUAAUUCUGAUGGAAGUCUGGCUGAGAAAAAUCAGAUGAUCAAUCACUUUGCGGACUCCUACAAUGCAGGCUCAUUCACGCAGUUGCUCCUGUAAGAGUGUAAACAAACCCAAAGAUGAGAAUUCAAGUGAAGAGAUUCAAAAGUCUAGAUGAUGACAAGUGUCACAAGAUCCAAGGGCAGUUAUAAGGAUGUUAGAAUCUGUUAGGAUCUGUUGGUAGUUAGAAUGUGUAGUUAGUUUGUUAAGAUACUAGCUUGUGGAGUAAGUCAUGAAUAUAUAUAACUGAGAUGUAAGAGAUGGAAAGACAUUCAAUGAAAAAGAAAUACAUCAGAAAAAUCUUUCUUCUUCUCUCUUUACAAUUCUAAAGUUUUCUUCCUCUUCAUUACAAUUACUGCUGCUAUCUUCACAUGGUAUCUUUGCCUUGUAUCGACCUGGCGCUUCCGCAUCUCAAUCAACGCAUUUCUUUCUCUUCUUUACCCUCUAGUUUGCCGUCUGUUGUGUGAUAAAAGAAAUAAUUGGCUUCGUCUGAUCUCCAUACACCUUCACGAUAUUGUUCUUCGUUUCUGCAUACCAACUGUUUGCUCAAUUGUCUCAGUGAAAGACUUCUAUACAAAAUCAAUAAUGGUGACUGCUAAUCAGUUAACGAUUGUUCAAUCUCCGAUCACUGGUCUUAUUUCUACCAUUUCGACAUCCGUUACAGUCAAGCUUGAUGAUUCGAACUACCUCACAUGGAGUUUUCAGAUAACUCUUCUCUUCGAGAGUCAUGGCAUUAUGGGCUUUGUGGACGGCUCAAGGAAAUGUCCUCUGCGAUUUGAUGAUGAUUCUACAGGUGAAGGGAUUGAGACCGAUGGUUCUUGUCUGGAAGAUGCAUGAUCGUGCCCUUAUGCAGUUGAUCAUUGUCACCUUGUCUCCAAUGGCGAUGUCCUGCAUCAUUGGAAGUCGAAGUUCUCAUGAAAUGUGGACUAGUCUUGCUGAAAGAUUUUCCACAGUUACCAAAGCUACGAUUUUUCAAAUGAAAACUGAGCUCCAAAACAUCAAGAAAGGUUCUGAGUCUGUCUCUAUAUACCUGCAAAAGAUCAAGGAUGCCAUAGAUCAUCUUGCAGCUGCUGGUGUUCAUUUUGAUGAUGAUGAUAUAAUCAUCCUUGCUCUGAAAGGUCUUCCUGCAGAAUUUAAUACCUUUCGUUGUGUCAUACGGGGCAGAGAAACCACUAUUUCACUCAAGGAUUUCCGGUCUCAAUUGUUGGCAGAAAAGACUACUAUUGGUCAGGCUUUUGAACCAUCCCCAUAUUGUGGCUCUGCCAUGGUUGCUGGUACUGCGGUUAACAAAGGGAAAGCUUUAGUUCUUGAUCAAGAUUCAUCUCAGUCUGUUGAAUUUGGUUCAAGCUCUGGAACCAAUGACCAACCCUACACAAGUAAUGGUAGUGGAUUAUCUCAUUCUGCUCAUAGUUUUGGAGGCUCUUACAACAAUAAUGGCGGUCAAAUGUUCAACAAUGGUGGUCAUUAUCAAGGAGGGUACAAAGGCAAUAACUUCAAAGGCAGAGGCCGCGGUAGAUCACUAUUCUGGCCCUCGAUUUUAUCAACCUUCAUCUAACACAAGUCCAGGCAUUCUUGGUGCUCCGAGACCAUUUCAAUCCCAUUGUCCUGCUCAUCCUUCUGAGAUUCCAACUUGCCAAAUUUGUAACAAAAAAGGCCAUGUUGCAGCAGAUUGCUUUCAGAGACAGAGACAUGGUUCACAAGUCACCAGUUCUCCAUCUCCGGUUCAAUGCCAAAUUUGCUGGAAAUUUGGUCAUUCUGCAAUGCAGUGCUAUCACAGAGGCAAUUUUGCCUAUCAAGGCAAGUCACCAUCCUCACCUCUAGCAGCAAUGCAUGUUCAUCAUCAACCAUCUGCACCUAUGGAACAGUUUUGGGUUGCCGAUACUGGUGCAACCUCCCAUAUGACAUCUGAACUUGCCAACUUGGAUCUGUCCACUCCAUAUCCCGGCAAUGACACAAUAACCACAGCAAGUGGUGCAGGUUUGCAAAUUUCUCAUGUUGGAACUUCAACCUUACACACUCCUACUCAUAGUCUUGCAUUGAAGAAUGUGUUAUAUGUUCCAAAAAUCUCUCAGCAUGUAUUAUCAGUUUAUCAGCUUUGUAAGGAUAAUAGAUGCAUAUUUAUAUGUCAUGAUCUAUGUUUUUGGGUUCAGGACAAACUCACAGGGACAAUCCUUCUCAAGGGGCUGUGUAGGGCUGGCUAUUACCAUAUUCCUUUCCGCAUUUUUUCGAAGCCAUCAUCUGCAUCAUCUCAAUCACACAAAUGCUUUCUUGCACAACCUGUUAGCACUAGUUUAUGGCAUCAAAGGCUAGGUCACCCAUCUAAUGCAAUCACCUCUGCAAUGCUUCAUCAAAAUAAAGUCUCUCUGUCAUUUAACACAUGUAAAUUAGUUUGUACAUCGUGUCUCGAAGGAAAAUUCACCAAAAUUCCUUUUGUUUUUCCUACAACUAAGUCUGUACAUCCUUUAGAAAUCAUCCAUAGUGAUGUAUGGGGACCUGCCCCUCUUCUGUCAUUUGACAGUUUUAGAUACUAUGUAACUUUCAUAGAUGAAUGUACAAGAUUUACAUGGAUUUUUCCAUUGAAAAAUAAAUCAGAAGUGUUUGCUCUCUUUGUCAAAUUUUAUGCAUUUGUGUACACUCAAUUUUCUGUCAAAGUCAAAGUUCUUCAAAGUGAUGGUGGUGGAGAAUAUACCAAUUCACAAUUUCAGUCUUUUCUAGCCACACAUGGUAUUAUCCAUAAAAAAUCCUGCCUAUAUACCCCUGAACAAAAUGGUUUGGCUGAGAGAAAGCAUAGGCACAUUGUAGAGACUGCUAUUACACUCCUUCAAACUGCCAGAUUACCAAAUCUUUUCUGGUUUCAUGCUUGUGCUACUGCAACUUAUCUCAUUAACAGAAUGCCAUGUGCUACCUUAAAAAUGCAGUCUCCUUAUCAACUGUUGUAUGGUCAAAUACCUAGUAUUACUCAUCUAAAAAUUUUUGGUUGUGCAUGUUUUCCACUCUUAAAACCAUACAACCCUAGUAAGUUACAACCAAAAACAACCACUUGUGUUUUUCUGGGUUAUGUAGCAAAUUACAAAGGCUUCAUUUGUCUAGAUAUUACCACCCAUCAAUUGUAUAUAUCUCGACAUGUCUUAUUUGAUGAAUCAGUGUUUCCUUACACACAGUUUUCCAGUUCUCAUUCUUCUAGUCAAACUGCAAGUUCUUCUCCUUCCUUGCACUCUUGUCCAUCUAUGCCAUGCAUUACCCUAACCAAUCAAGUCACAUCAUCAUCUCAUUCUCAUGCAUCUUCAUCCCACAUCCCAAGUUCCAUGUCUACACCUGCAUCUCAUGCCUCAGAGUCCUUGCCUGCAUCUAGUACCUCUGAUUCUUUGCCUGCAUCUCGAGCUCUAGAUUCUUUGGAAACACAUGCCUCUAGUAUUUAUGCCACUUCUGCUAUACCAGCACUUACACCUACACAGCAACCAGUCCCUGUGGAUCCUGAUUUCCAACAAGAACACCUUCAUGUGGUUCUUCCAAUCCCAAUGAAUGUGCACCCUAUGGUUACAAGAUCCAAGAAUGGUAUUGUCAAACGUAGGGCUUUAUCUGCCAGUGUUAGUUCUCAGGCAAUUCUCUCGGAACCAAAAUCAUUCAAAGCUGCUUCUAAAUUACCUCAAUGGCAGAAAGCCAUGAAGGAAGAGGUAGAUGCUCUUCAUUCUCAAAAUACAUGGUCUCUUGUUCCUCUUCUACGUGGUAAGAACCUAGUUGGGUGUAAAUGGGUGUACAGAAUUAAACAGAAUGCAGAUGGUACUGUGGCCAGGUAUAAGGCAAGGCUUGUAGCCAAAGGCUAUAGUCAGAAUGAGGGUAUCGACUAUGGCGAGACAUUUAGUCCAGUGGUUAAACCUACAACAAUUCGCCUUGUUUUUGCUUUAGCAGCUCAGUUCAAAUGGCAACUCAGGCAAUUGGAUGUCAAAAAUGCCUUUCUCCAUGGAUUUUUACAGGAAGAAGUGUAUAUGGAGAAGCCUCCGGGUUUUCAAAGUCUUACUCAUCCUUCCACUUAUGUCUGCAAGCUUCACAAAUCGCUCUAUGGACUUAAACAAGCUCCACGAGCUUGGAAUGAUAGAUUCACCAGUUUUCUACCUGCAUUGGGGUUUAAGUCUUCACAUGUCGAUUCCUCAUUAUUUGUUCUCCAUUCUCACCAUGAAAUUGUCAUCUUGCUCCUUUAUGUUGAUGAUGUCAUAUUGACUGGAAGCUCGUCUAAAUUGAUUUCUCAGGUUAUUCAGACCUCACUACGGAGUUUGAGAUAAAGGAUUUAGGCAAUCUGCACUAUUUUCUGGGGUUGCAGAUUACUCAAUCAGAUGAUGGUUUGUUUGUUUCCCAAUCUAAAUAUGUUAAUGAGCUCAUUGACAAGGUGGAUUUGCAGGAUUGCAAACCGUGUGCUACUCCUUGUUUGCCCUAUCACCGCCUUCUCAAAGAUGAUGGCAAGCCUUAUCAUAGUCCGGAGUAAUAUCGUAGUGUUGUUGGAGCUCUUCAAUAUCUCACCUUUACACGACCGGAUAUAGCCUUCUUUGUCAAUCAAGCAUGUCAAUUCAUGCAUAAUCCUAUGGAAUCUCAUGUCAUUGCGGUCAAAAGAAUUCUCCGGUAUCUUAAGGGCACUUCAAAUUAUGGCAUUCAUUUUCAACCAGGGCACAUAUGUCUUCAGUCCUAUAGUGAUGCAGACUGGGCCGGGGAUCCAAAUGAUCGAAGGUCUACUUCAGGGUUUGUCAUUUUUCUCGGUUCUAAUCCUAUCUCUUGGGCAUCGAAGAAGAAACACACUGUGUCCCGGUCCUCCACCGAAGCAGAAUAUUAGGCCUUAGCUAUCACUGCAGCUGAACUAGCUUGGAUCCGACAAUUAUUUUGUGACCUUCACAUCUUUCUUCCUCAAGCACCGAUGCUUUACUGUGACAACCUCUCAGCUAUCUCUUUAUCCACCAAUCCUGUGUUUCAUGCCAAAUCUAAACACAUUGAGAUUGACUAUCACUUUGUCCGUGAAAGAGUUACAAGGGGUGAUCUUAAAGUGCACCAUGUUUCAUCUGCUGAUCAAUUUGCUGAUAUACUCACGAAGGGGUUGUCUGCCCCUCUGUUCCAGCAGCAUUGUGGCAAUCUCAUGCUCAGUUCCAUUUCGCAUGAGCUUGAUGGAGGAUGUAAGAGUGUAAACAAACCCAAAGAUGAGAAUUCAAGUGAAGAGAUUCAAGAGUCUAGAUGAUGACAAGUGUCACAAGAUCCAAGGGCAGUUAUAAGGAUGUUAGAAUCUGUUAGGAUCUGUUGGUAGUUAGAAUGUGUAGUUAGUUUGUUAAGAUACUAGCUUGUGGAGUAAGUCAUGAAUAUAUAUAACUGAGAUGUAAGAGAUGGAAAUACAUUCAAUGAAAAAGAAAUACAUCAGAAAAAUCUUUCUUCUUCUCUCUGUACAAUUCUAAAGUUUUCUUCCUCUUCAUUACAAUUACUGCUGCUAUCUUCACAGCUCCGUGGUGACAGCUCAUGUUGGAACAACUAUACAAUGACGCAACUGCUGCACAAUAAGGCAGCUUACAUUCCCUCUGCAAACAUGAAUCUGAGCAGAAGUGUUGACAUAGCAGCGAACACACAGCUGAUUCCUAUGUUGCAUCCUCAGUUGGGAAACCAAGAAAACAACACGAGAAGUUACUUGCUGACCAACCAAAAUUGCAGGUCUUUGGUUAUGGAUUUUCCUUCCCAAGUUGAUGACAGUCGGCAAGAUUCCAACUCACUCCAUUGGUUAUUUGGCAACCAAAAUCAUCGCUCAAGUCCAAGCUCAAACCUGUUCAGUAAUGAUGACAGUUCAUCCCAGAUAAGUCAACGUAUGUACUUUAACGCGGUUAUGAUAUUUAUUCUGCUCUAAUUUGAUUUCAUUGAUAGAAAGUUUAGAAAUGAAUGCUCAAAUUUGAACGAAUGAUCGAUAUGCACUAUUUUUUUAUGAUGUCCGUCUUCUAAUCUAGUCUAAAAUAGGCAAAAAUGCGGACUAUAAGAAGAAACUAAAAUCUUUGAACAAGAAAAACGAAGAAAUUAAUACUGAAAAAUAAUAAACUUGACCGAGAAACUGCUUUUCUUCACAGAUGGUUUCCAACCAAGCUAUGAUCUAAACUCCUUGCCAAGUACAGAAGUCGACACUGCCUCAGGUGUUAUCGGCCAACUCCAAUUCACAACAGAUAAGGCCAAGAAUUUGGAGAACAACCAGCUUUCUGCAAUGCUGAAAUCCUUGACGGAUAAAUGUGAUAGGAAGGAAAAAGGCAAACAGGUCAUUUUUAUAAAAGAUGAAGCAAAUCAAACAAAUGGUGACGAACUCCUGCAGAACAUUGUGAAGUCAUCAUCUGCAGCCAUUUCUAAACCUUACAACAAAAACAAAGAGUCUGACAGUGGUGGUGACAGAGGGAUUGAUCUGAAUAAGACACCCCAGCAGAAACCACCAAAGCGAAGAAAACACAGGCCAAAGGUAAUCAUUGAAGGCAAGCCCAAGAGGACGCCAAAGCCUGCAACUCCAAAGAAUACAAAGUCUAAGGAGACCAGACCUGCAAAGAGGAAGUUUGAAAUGAACGUCCAAAAGGAAUCGCCAAGUCAACUGGCAGACAUAACACGGGAGACGGCAGACGCUAAUGUUGGAAAAGGUGCAAAAUCAUGCAGAAGAGUGCUGCAUUUUGAUUUGGAAAAGACCAUGGAUGAAAACCUAUGCAGAGCAAUUGGUCAGCAAGAGGAGACACAACAAGUGAACAAGAAGACUUUUGAUUUGAAUUUUGACUCUCAAGGGACACAUAUGGGAACUGAAACGAACCAGGUGAAUGCAAAGCCAGCUGAGCGAAGUGGACUGCUGAACGAAUUGUUGGUAGAUAAGCAGAUACCAGGUACUCUGAGUAACCCUAUCCAUUCCAUGAGUCUUAUGCCAAAUAACUUUACAUUUCUGCCAGAAAGGCAAGUAUCUGCAGCCCUACUUGCUACAACAAAAGACAUGCAUCUGAAAAAUUCGCAUGUCAUGAGGAGACUUGUAGAGAAUGCAAAUUCUGAUUUAUGCCAGAAAAGAUGCAGAGAUGAAUCCACUCCAAUGCAGCAACAUAGCCAUGCUGGAGAAAUAUGCCAAGAUGUCAUUCGAGCAAACAUUAACCAUGAAAACCUUCAGAAAACUAAAGAACUUGUCAACCAGGGUGAUUCUUUACUAAAACUUCUCUCCCUUCCAAGUGAAGGAAGGGGAUCCAAGAGGGAUUUUUUUCGAACUGCUGAGGGCACUCGCCUUUCUACCAACAAUCCACCAAGUUCACUAUCAUUCCAUGAGUUACUUCAAUUGGAUGAAAUUCAGAAAAACAGUGGUAUUCUCAACAAAGAUUUUUCAGGAAGCCGUAAGAAAAAGAAAAUUGAGAAUAGAUACUUGAACAUUAAUAAUAUGCCUAAUAAAGUUACAGCGGUUGAGGAGUGUCUGAGAAAAGUUGAAAGACCAGAGGAAAAUAAUGUCAAUUCAAAUGGAUUUACAUCGAAGAACCAUAAAAUGCUGAGUUCUUACAUUAAAAAUAACAAAAUUAUGGACAGGGAGAACAAAGAGAUCAGCAAGUUUAUAGGUGACAGGUGUUGUGAUUGGCUCAUAUUUUGAGCUGUUAACAAUUAAGUGACUUUGUGUGUUAUGCUUUCGGAAUAGUGGCCAAAUAUGUCCAUAUCUCAUUUUGGCUAAUAGUGGAAGACAAUGAUGAUGUUUCAUGGGAUUCCUUUGUUUUGGCAAUUUUUAUUCAUUUCCCAUUUGCAUGCCGAAAGUGGUUUUGGGUUUUGAGAAAAAGGAGCAUGAUGGAUCAUCAUUGUGUCUAUGUAAAAAAGGAGAGGUUGACUCACUUUUCUGUCCAUUUAAUUGCAAAGAGCCGAAGUGGAGAAAUGUAGAGAGAGAGCAUCCGAAGGAGAACACAAAGGAGAGAAAAUAUAGAGUAAGAGUGAGAAACUCUUGGGGAGAGUGAGUCUCUUAGUAAAAUUCUGUGAGGGUACAAGGGAUUGGGGUUUGGGUUAUGUCGAUUUAACUCAAGUGUAACUUGUACUGUUAUUCUCAUAGUGAAGAGCAAUAUCUCUCCGGGGACGUAGGCAGGAUUUUUGCCGAACCUCGUAAAUUUCUCAGUGUCUUUAUUUCUUGUAUUUUAAAUUGUUCAACUGUGGGUUUAUAAGUUGGUGAGAUAACAGGCCAAAGCACAACAAUUGGUAUCAGAGCUUUGUUGGAAGCUUUGGUUCAUCGAAGGUCCAAAUUUGUUAUUCACCAUGAUGACUACAAACAUGUCAUUUUCAGUUGAGAAGUUUAAUGGGAAAGGCAGUUUUACUCUUUGGCAGAUGAGAGUAAAGGAUGUAUUGACUCAACAAGGCUUGGCUAGAGCUUUGAAGGGAAAAGAUGGGAAGCCUCAAGAAAUGACAGAUGACCAGUGGGAGGAGCUGGAGGGGCAUUGUGUUAGCACGAUUCGACACUGUAUAGCUGAUAACAUUAUCAAUAAUGUUAUGGAUGAAGAUUAUGAGCCUGCACUUUGGGAGAAGUUGGAAAAACUCUAUAUUGCUAAGAGUUUGACUAACAAGUUGCAUUUGAAGCGGAAACUGUACAAGCUGAAGAUGGAUGAAGGUGGGAAUCUCAUGGACCACAUGAAUGUGUUCAACGGAUACUUGGAUCAAUUGAGGAAAGUUGAUGUCAAGGUUGAGGAAGAAGACAAAGCCCUCUUAGUUCUUACCUCACUUCCAGAUUCGUAUGAAAAUCUUGUGACAACCUUACUGCAUGGAAAAGAUACAGUAAGUUUGGAGCAGGUGCAAGCUUCUUUGGUGUCUUAUGAUACACAAAAGAAGAAGACCAUUGUUGAUGGUGGGCACGAGACUGCUUUAGCUGUUCAAGGUUGGAAUCGUGGAAGAAAAUUGGGAGAAGGAUCUGAGAGAGACAACAUGUUCAAAUCCGGUUCCGGAGGCAAGGGUCUACAAUGCUACGCCUGUAAAGAAUUUGGGCAUAAAAAGAUAAAUUGUCCUUUGAGAAAAAGAAAGGAUGAUCUUGGUCCGAGCAGUAGCAAUUUUGUGGAAGAAGACUUCGAGUAUGCCCUCUAGGUACUCGAAGCAACACUUCUCUUGGUGAUGUUUAGUCUUAAGUGUUGUAAGGGAUUUGCAGCAGGUGGAGCUAUGGGAUUCACAGGUGAUGAGAUGGUCCUGAAGGAAGAGAAGUGUGAGGAAUAUUUGUCUGGCUCGAUGAGUGUUGCUGGAAAUGGGUGCACUGAUAAGUUUCCAGGUUGCAGACAAUAAAGAAGGGGAAAAACCUGCUGAAGGAGACGAGGAUGUGUCGAGAUCCUGCCUGAAGCUAAAUUGUGAUUUUUAGCUUGCAGCAGCUGCACAUGCAUUGGCAGUGACUGAAUCGGAACAGGACCAACGAGGUUUAUUCAGUGUGUGUAUGCUGGUACGUAAGGCCAAUGGACUUUGGUGAUGGGUGCAAGGAUUUUUUGCACAGUAUAUUCGCCAAGGUGGAGAUUGUUGUGAUUGGCUCAUAUUUUGAGCUGUUAACAAUUAAGUGACUUUGUGUGUUAUGCUUUCGAAAUAGUGGCCAAAUAUGUCCAUAUCUCAUUUUGGCUAAUAGUGGAAGACAAUGAUGAUGUUUCAUGGGAUUCCUUUGUUUUGGCAUUUUUUAUUCAUUUCCCAUUUGCAUGCCGAAAGUGGUUUUGGGUUUUGAGAAAAGGGAGCAUGAUGGAUCAUUGUGUCUAUGUAAAAAAUGAGAGGUUGACUCACUUUUCUGUCCAUUUAAUUGCAAAGAGCCGAAGUGGAGAAAUGUAGAGAGAGAGCAUCCGAAGGAGAACACAAAGGAGAGAAAAUAUAGAGUAAGGGUGAGAAACUCUUGGGGAGAGUGAGUCUCUUAGUAAAAUUCUGUGAGGGUACAAGGGAUUGGGGUUUGGGUUAUGUCGAUUUAACUCAAGUGUAACUUGUACUGUUAUUCUCAUAGUGAAGAGCAAUAUCUCUCCGGGGACUUAGGCAGGAUUUUUGCCGAACCUCGUAAAUUUCUCAGUAUCUUUAUUUCUUGUAUUUUAAAUUGUUCAACUGUGGGUUUAUAAGUUGGUGAGAUAACAGGCCAAAGCACAACAACAGGUACACUCACUCCAUCACUUCUGGGAAUGGUUUUGUACAUCUGCAUAUCUCAUCCAAAUCAAAUUCAUGCCAAGGUUCCACAAAAGUUCUUAGCUUUUCCACCCAUUCAACAAGUGAAACAUGUAACCAGCAAGCCUCAUCACUUCCCAGAAAAUCCCUUCAGAUAGCAAACAAGCAGGUAUCUCAUGAUAAUACGUCAGCAAAGAAGCAGUCUGAAGGAAUUACUCUAUCGAAAGUUUCAUCAGGUACAGAUAAAGUCUGUCAAGAGAAGGAUUCAGCGUAUGAUCACAAGCAACCUUCUGCAAAAGCAAUUGGUACUUUCCACCUUAAGAAACAUCUCAAUAAUGUAUCAUCACAAUAACUGCUUUCAACUCACUCAAAUGAUGACAUACUCUUGAUUUUGCAGGGUAUCCAAUAAGAACAAGAUGUACUAUACCAAUAGAUGGCAUCAUACAUCAAUUUAAUGGUCUGAACCUCAAUGGAAGCUGCAGCAAAAUUCUAGAGCAGGAGAAAGCUGCACUUGUUCCUUACAAAGGAGAUGGUGUAAUUGUCCCCUUUCAAGGUAUUAUAAAGAAACAUAAGCCGCGACCAAGAGUAGAGCUUGACCCAGAAACAUAUAGGAUAUGGAAUCUGUUGAUGGGCAAUGAGGGAAGCAAAGGUAAUGAAGGAACUGAUAAAAAUGAGAAGUAUUGGGAAGAGGAAAGAAAUGUUUUCCAAGGACGAGUUGACUCAUUCAUUGCGCGCAUGCACCUUGUUCAAGGUAAAAUACACUUUAUAGCAAUCUGCAGCACAACAUGCAUUUCCAGUUCAGGCACAAAAAUGCAAAUUAUUCAACUUGAAGUAAUACAAAAGACAUAAACUCAACCAUGAAAACUCAGACUUGACGAUAUCUAAAACAUGUAAAAGCAGGACAGUACUAUUUUUCUUUGUGAAAGACUGCAUAUUAGUAGCUUUCUCAAUUAGACAACAGGGGUAAGAAUUACUUUUUGCUUCUCAUGUAUACGGUAUACCAGAAAAACAUAAAUUCAUUAUAAUUUUCUCCAAUUAGUGGAUACGUAGUUAUUAGAUAUCAUGCACAUCAACCAUUGAUAAAAAAUUAUAAUGAACACGAGACAGACGUUUUUCAAAAUGGAAAGGAUCAGUUGUUGACUCGGUGAUCGGAGUUUUCCUUACCCAGAAUGUCUCAGACAUCUAUCAAGGUAUGUUAAGAAUUUUGGCAUGAAGAAUCAACCAGAUAGCUCAAAAUGAAUGUCUUACAGUGAACAAAUUUUAUUUUGUUCUUUGUCUUUUGUAGCUCUGCCUUCAUGUCAUUGGCAGCACGGUUUCCGCUUCAGUCAAGCAAUCACCAAGCUCCACACAAGGUUCGGAUAAACAUCUUGGUUAACAAACCAGAAGUUUGCAUGACAAGUCCAGAUGAUGCCACCAAUGGCAUAAAGAUAUAUCAAGUCAACCAAUCUACCGCCAGACUUCUAUGACACUCCAUGAAUUGGCAGAAAAUCAGAGGGACAUUGAGAACUCAUGGACAGAAAGGAACUUAGAUGAGGAACAUGGUCAAUGUUUUGAGGAAGAAUUUGUAUCGUCUCAAGAUUCUAUUGAAUCCUCAGUCACUCAAGGAGCUGUAGGAAUCAGAUCAUACCCAAUGUCCAACUCAGAAACAGAAGAUCCUAUGACUGGAUGCCGACCCAACAAGGUUCCUAUUUCCAUUUCAACCUAUCAACAGAUGGAGACGACGACCAUGUUUCAGGACUUUUACCGUCAAGUAAAUGGAAUCUCACUAUUAGAUGAUGGAUCCAAGAAUGGGCACAUGGAGUAUUCACAGAUAAAGCCACCAUCAGACAAAAUCAAUCAUCUCACUGGCACGUCUUUCACAAAUCCAAUCAAUCUUGACAAUGAAAAUAUGCAAGUACCAGUUGUUCCUUCCAGCAACAAUCAAUUGCACAUGUACCCAGAUUCUGGAGAACCAAGGCCAUGGAGAUUUGGAACUUUCAAUGAGGAGAGCAUAUCCUCUUGGCCUUCGACUGCUUCCAGAUUCGAUAUUGAGCAAGACAAGUGCAAGAACUUGAGAAAUGAAGAACUGUUAGGAAGUGUUGUUAAUUCCUCUAUGCAACAGAGUAGUCUGUGGAGUUCUCAAGAAAUGCCACCAGUGGACCCGUAUGCAUUGUUCGGACAGCACUCAACAGACCUGAAAAAUAGGUCUGAAACAAGGCCAAGCACUGGACAUAAUCGUUCCAACUAUAGUCAUCAGCGUGAGAGGAACCUAACCUUCUCAUUAGAAAACACGUCAGCCAGAGAGCCUGGAAAACAUACUGAACCACUUAUGGGAAAUAAGAGUGGUAGCAUGCAGCAUGUCAAUAAUUUCAGUGAGCUCAGAAAAAAAUCUAUCAAUGUCGUUGAUGGUAUGCAUGUACACAUGGAAAAUCAACCAGUUGAUUCAAAUUUACAGGAGCAACAAUCUUCUCAUGGUCAGUCACAUAAGGAGACAAGUACAAAUACUUCAAAAAGAAGAAAAGGAAAGGCUUACAGCGAGAAAAAGAAUGCAGUUGACUGGGACAUUUUGAGAAACCAGGUCUUGGCCAAGGGUAGGGAAAAGGAAAGAAACAAAGACACAAUGGACUCACUGGAUUAUGAAGCACUAAAAAAUGCUAAUGUCAGAGAAAUUUCUGAGGCAAUCAAGGAGCGAGGGAUGAACAUCAUGCUAGCAGAACAGAUCCAGGUACUCUACUAUUAGUGUUCCGUCCAAGACUUCUUGCUUGUUAAUUGCAUCGUUAGUUUUCUCCAUAAUAACAUCAAUGAAUACGUUAAGACUAUCAUUCAUGAUAACAUUAGUUGCACAAUAUUUGUAGGAAUUUCUAAACCGACUGGUUAAAGAACAUGGAAGCAUCGAUCUGGAAUGGUUAAGAGAUGUUCCCCCUGAUAAAGCAAAGUAAGUCAUUGCACAAUUCAUUAACUUGUAGAAUGUUACAGCUACCCCCUUUAUGCCAUUAGGGAGGCUAUUAUUCAUCAGGUUUUGUAUACAGUUAUCACUAAUGAUUUUCUUGCAGGGAUUAUCUAUUAAGCAUAUGCUCCUAUCAACUUUACACGGGACACACAAAAGAAGUACUUUGAUCCUAUUAGACGGGGGAGGGUGAAGAAGCUAGGACAGAAGGGUAGAGUUCAAGAGAACAAAAUGCGUUUAGGAACGUGGAAUAUAGGAACCUUAACAGGAAAAUCUAUGGAAGUAGUGGAAGUUAUGGUGAGGAGAAGGAUAAAUAUUAUGUGCCUACAAGAAACUAAGUGGGUUGGUAGUAAGGCAAAGGAUCUAGAAAACUCAGGGUUUAAACUUUGGUAUUCGGGCACAAAUAGAACGAGAAACGGUGUUGGCAUCAUCGUGGACAAGACCUUGACACAAGAUGUUGUAGAUGUCAACAGGGUAGGAGAUAGAAUCAUAGCAAUCAAGAUUGUAAUAGGACAAGAACUUAUCAAUGUGAUUAGUGCGUACGCACCUCAAGUAGGGUUGGAUACGAGUUCGAAGGAGAAAUUUUGGGAAGACCUUGGAGACUUGGUGCAAGGAAUUGCUCAGACGGAGAAGUUAUUUAUAGAAGGAGAUUUAAAUGGACACGUGGGCAGGGAGACAGACAACUAUGGAGGUUUUCAUGGUGGCCAUGGUUUUGGGGAGAGAAACGAGGAUAGGGAAGCUAUCUUGGAUUUUGCAAUGGCAUAUGAUCUCUUCUUAGCCAACACCUUCUUUAAGAAGAGAGAAGAACAUGUGAUCACCUACAAGAGUGGGUCGUCAAAAACACAAAUAGAUUUUCUUCUAAUGAGGAAAGGGGAUCGUAUAACUUGUAAGGAUUGCAAAGUUAUACCAGGAGAGAGCGUGGCUAAUCAACAUCGCUUGUUGGUGAUGGAUGUACAUAUCAAAAGAGUGAGACAAAAGAACAAGACUUGGAAGUGCCCAAGGACUAGAUGGUGGAAUCUAAAAGAAGAAAAACAAGCCAUUUUCAAAGAGAAUGUAAUCACCCAAUGUGUGUGGGAUAGAGAGGGGGAAGCUAGCCAAAUGUGGGAUUCCAUGGCUAGUUGUAUCCGAAAAGUAGCAAAAGAGGUAUUAGGAGAGUCCAAGGGCUUUGCCCCACACCAAAAGGAAUCUUGGUGGUGGAAUAAGGAGGUACAAACAAAGGUGAAGGCUAAGAAGGAAUGUUGUAAAGCCUUAUACAAGGAGAGGACCGAUGAAAAUGGUGAAAGGUAUAGAAAAGCGAAGCAAGAGGCGAAGAAAGUUGUCAGAGAAGCUAAGUUAGCGGCUUACGACGAUAUGUAUAAACGACUAGAUACCAAAGAAGGAGAGUUGGAUAUCUAUAAACUAGCUAGAGCAAGGGAAAAGAAGACAAGGGACCUAAACCAAGUGAGGUGCAUCAAGGAUGAGGAUGGAAAGGUUCUUGCUACAGAGAACGCAGUUAAAGACAGAUGGAGAGGUUAUUUUCAUAAUCUUUUCAAUGAAGGACAUGAAAGGAGUGCUUCUUUAGGGGAGUAGAGUAACUCAGAAGAGUGUAGAAACUACUCUUUUUAUCGUCGAAUCCGGAAGGAAGAAGUGGUUGUAGCUUUGAAGAAGAUGAAGCAUAGAAAAGCAAUAGGCCCAGACGAUAUACCAAUCGAAGUGUGGAAAGUUUUGGGAGAGACAGGUAUAACAUGGCUCACUGACCUUUUCAAUAGGAUUUUGAAAACGAAGAAGAUGCCAAAUGAGUGGCGAACGAGUACUUUGGUGCCUAUCUACAAGAAUAAGGGCGACGUACAAAAUUGCAUGAACUAUAGGGGUAUUAAGUUAAUGAGUCAUACAAUGAAGCUCUGGGAGAGAGUCAUUGAGCAUAGAUUGAGGCAAGAGACACGGGUUUCGGACAACCAAUUCGGGUUCAUGCCAGGGCGCUCAACCAUGGAGGCAAUCUAUCUCUUACGAAGAUUGAUGGAAAAAUAUAGAGAUGGGAAAAAGGAUUUACACAUGGUCUUUAUAGAUUUGGAAAAAGCGUAUGAUAGGGUCCCAAGAGACAUUAUUUGGAGGAUUUUAGAGAAGAAAGGAGUACGAGUAGCAUAUAUCCAAGCUAUAAAGGAUAUGUAUGAAGGAGCAAAGACUUCCGUAAGAACUCAUGAAGGACAAACCGAAAGCUUUCCCAUAACUGUAGGAUUACAUCAAGGCUCAUCCUUAAGUCCUUACAUUUUUGCGUUGGUAAUGGAUGAGUUAACAGGACAUAUUCAAGAUGAUAUUCCUUGGUGUAUGCUUUUCGCAGACGAUAUAGUGUUGAUAGAUGAAACUCAGGAGGGGGUAAAUGCAAAGCUUAACUUUUGGAGAGAAGUGUUGGAAUCUAAAGGUCUUCGCCUAAGCCGAUCAAAGACAGAAUAUAUGGAGUGCAAGUUCAGUGCAAAUGGAGGCCAAAACGAGUUAGGGGUGAGGAUUGGAGAUCAAGAAAUACCAAAGAGCGACCGUUUUCAUUACCUAGGAUCUAUCUUGCAAAAGAACGGAGAAUUAGAUGGAGAUCUCAACCAUAGAAUACAAGCUGGAUGGAUGAAGUGGAAGAGUGCAUCUGGCGUGUUGUGUGACCGCCGUAUGCCACUGAAGCUCAAGGGAAAAUUUUAUAGGACGACAAUAAGGCCGGCGAUGCUGUAUGGCACAGAAUGUUGGGCGGUGAAGCAUCAACACGUACACAAAAUGGGUGUAGCGGAGAUGAGGAUGCUUCGUUGGAUGUGUGGGCACAUGAGAAAGGAUAAGAUUAGGAAUGAGGAUAUCCGGGGUAAAGUAGGAGUAGCCGAAAUUGAAGGAAAGAUGAGAGAAAAUCGGUUACGGUGGUUUGGACAUGUGCAAAAAAGGUCUACUGACGCUCCGAUUAGAAGAUGCGACUAUGGGACAGAGGUUCAGGGCCGAAAGGGUAGAGGAAGACCUAGGAAAACUUUGGAAGAGACUCUAAGAAAAGACUUAGAGUACUUGGAUCUAACGAAGGACAUGACACAGGACCGAGCACAAUGGCGUUCUAAGAUUCAUAUAGCCGAUCCCACUCAGUGACUUGGAUUUUCCAAGUCUCCAACCGAGAAGUUUUCCUCACUCGGAAAAUUAAGGGAACACUACCCCAACCUACAUGCUCCACUCAGAAAGCUUCAACAUACAAGCUUCAACAAAAGAAAAAUUCAAAAGAACUUAGCGAAGAAGGCUUUGGUGUAUUUAACACAAUACGUUGAAAUGAAGGAAAACUUAUUUAUUGAUAUCCCCGAUAAGCUACAAAUAUGUACAUAUACAUGAGUCAAAAUAAACAAACAAGAUGGAGCCUUCACAAAGGUUGCUUAGGAGAAGUCUCAGCAGUCGGUAGAGCCCCAGAAAGAGAAGGCAUCGGAGGGGGAUCAUUCGGAGCCUCAGUACUGGACAGAACCCUAGAAGGAGGAGGCAUCAGAGGUUGAUCAUUUGGAGCUUCAUUACGCGGUACAGCCCCAGAAGACGAAGGCAAUAAAUGCCUUUGGAACAAACCCACAAAUCUCUGAUGAUCAAGUAAAACCUGACCAUCAGAUUCCUUCAUCUGGUCAAGCUUCCUCUUCAUGUUUGUAGCAUAGUCAUGUGCGAGCCGGUGCAACUGUUUAUUCUCAUGCUUGAGCCCUCUAAUCUCCUGUUUGAGACUCAUCACUUCGGCCGCCAAUGAUUCAACUUGGCGGGUUCGAGCAAAUAGGCGUUGGGCCAUAUUAGACACAGAACCUGCACACUGAACACUGAGAGCCAGCGAAUCCUUAACAGCUAACUCAUCAGACCGUUUGGAAAGUAGUCUGUUAUCUUUGGGAGUGAGAAGGUUCCUGGCCACCACCGCAGCGGUCAUAUCAUUCUUCAUCACGGAAUCCCCAACGGUAAGAGGACCAGUAGGGGAGACGAAGGAUGGGCGCCAUAUGUUGUCUGGAGAAGGCGGGGCUGCCUCUUCAACAAGGUUCAAGUCAAAACGACGGUCGGAGGGGCCAGACAUUUUCAAAGGUGUUGAAGAGAGAAGAGGUCGGACAAAUCAAGAUCUUAGAAGUGCAAGAAUGGAGCUUCUACUGGUGGAGAUUCAAGUGUGCUUUGGAACUUAAUGCCAGCCCCUAUAAAAAGCUGCACUCGACGGAGCUUCAGACAUCGAAGAGGCGCCUGCUCAGAAAUCGAAGAGGCGUUUGCUUUCUCAAAAGCUGGGCUGCUUAGAGACCACGAGGGUUGAUCUCAUAAAUCGAAGAGGUGUUUGCUUUCUCAAAAGUUGGGCUGCUCAAAGACCACGAAAGCCGAUCUCAGAAAUCGAAGAGGCGCUCGCUUUCUCAAAAGCUGGGCUCCUCAGAGACCACGAGGGCCGAUCUCAGAAAUCGAAGAGGCACCUACUUUUCCAGCCUUGUCAGCACCUGUCACACGCACACUCAGCUUUGCGGAAAUUAUGGGUAUUCUGUCGAAGAUUUCUGGGGAAGUAGAAAACACAUGAAUCUUACUGUCCAAUCACCCACUUCCCACACGCAACAAUAGCUCAUGGGUACCACAGAUAACUUUGCCAAAGUUCUCUGCCAAAGUUGAGCACGUGAAGCUUGCAGCUCCCACUACAUCGCUCUGACCAAGAAGGGUAAAAGAAUAGCAAAGAAACAACACUAACAAAGUUUAGACCCAUAAAUUUUGAAGGUCUAGCUACCAUAUUAUUACCCACAAGGGUAAAGGAACAGUACCACUGCUGGAUAAUUGGAAAGUCCCUGUGUGUCAACCUCUGUGCCUCGUGGCAAGGUAGACUAGCAAACAUGCCCAACCUUUACUCACAUUCGAGAAAACACUCCCAAUAAGAUUGCUUGCUCCAAAAUCGAAGAGGCACCGUCCUCCGAAUCUCGAGAGCCAGACUCCCAACAUGACUACUUUCUCAAAAAUCGAAGAGAGGGUAAAGGAACAGUACCAUUGCUGGAUAAUUGGAAAGUCCCUGUGUGUCAACCUCUGUGCUUCGUGGCAAGGUAGACUAGCAAACAUGCCCAACCUUUACUCACAUUCGAGAAAACACUCCCAACAAGAUUGCUUGCUCCAAAAUCGAAGAGGCACCGCCCUCCGAAUCUCGAGAGCCAGACUCCCAACAUGAUUACUUUCUCAAAAAUCGAAAAGACACUGCUCCCCGAAUCUCGAGAGCCAGACCCCCAGCAUGAUUGCUUUCUCAAAAAUCGAAGAGGCAUCGUUCUCCGAAUCAAUCGAAGAGGCGCUCGCUUUCUCAAAAGCUGGGCUGCUCAGAGACCACGAAGGGCCGAUCUCAGAAAUCGAAGAGGCACCUACUUUUCUAGCCUUGUCAGCACUUGUCACACGCACACUCAGCUUUGCGGAAAUUAUGGGCAUUUUGUCGAAGACUUCUGGUGAAGUAGAAAGCACAUGAAUCUUACUGUUCAAUCACCCACUUCCCACACGCAACAAUAGCUCAUGGGUACCACAUAUAACUUUGCCAAAGUCUCUGCCAAAGUUGAGCACGUGAAGCUUGCAGCUCCCACUACAUCGCUCUGACCAAGAAAGGUAAAAAGAAUAGCAAAGAAACAGCACUAACAAAGUUUAGACACAUAAAUUUUGAAGGUCUAGCUACCAUAUUAUUACCCACAAGGGUAAAGGAACAGUACCACUGCUGGAUAAUUGGAAAGUCCUUGUGUGUCAACCUCCGUGCUUCGUGGCAAGGUAGACUAGCAAACAUGCCCAACCUUUACUCACAUCCGAGAAAACACUCCCAACAAGAUUGCUUACUCCAAAAUCGAAGAGGCACCGCCCUCCGAAUCUCGAGAGCUAGACUCCCAACAUGAUUACUUUCUAAAAAAUCGAAGAGACACUGCUCCCCGAAUCUCGAGAGCUAGACCCCCAGCAUGAUUGCUUUCUCAAAAAUCGAAGAAGCAUCGUUCUCCGAAUCUCGAGAGCUAGAUACCACAUACCACUUUUUCAAAGUGCUCUGACAGAGUUAAAACAUGUGAAGCUGGCAGCUCCCACUACCGUGCUAUGACCAAGCAGGGUAAAGGAAUAUCAUUACUACUUGUUGUUAGGGAGACUCCUAUAUAUGUCGACCUCCAUCCCCAACGGACAGGCAGACCUGCAAAAAUGCUCAACCCUUCCUCAUAUCGGAGAGGGCACUCCCAACGAAACCUUUCGAAAUAUUCGGCUUUCUUUCCCCCCGAUAAUACCUCUGCAAACAAGCUAUACUAGAGCAAGAAUAUCUCAUAUCAUGCUUUUUCCCUGUCUUUUCCUUUGGCCUUGUUCUUACCUGCAAGACAAGGAGAAAGAGAGCAAUCAGUCAGCACUUGAAAUCAAGCUCCCAGCCAGGAACUGACUGCCUGGAACCCCUUACCUGAUUACUUACCUGGCAUUGCUCUCGAGUACUCAUCUUCAACAUCUUAUGUUUCCAGGGAAGAUACCGCAUCUGCUUGAGGAACAGAUAGGGCAAGUGCGAAGGAUACAAGGAAGCAUGUGGAGACAAGCGUAACAGCACACGUGCCGAUACAUCCAUUACUCUGUCAAAAGCAAAAGUAUCCCAUAUCAGCAGGGUCGAACGUACUCUAGAUUUGAUGGACUUGUUUUGACCCUCAAAUUUUUCAGUCGGCCUUAUACUCUGGAGGAAACCAGAAAACCCUCCAGCCCAGUUCAAGAAUAAGCCUGUGGAAAGUUACUUCUUCAAAAGCAAAAGUAUCCCAUAUCAUCUCUUCUCAUUUUUCUUCUCUUUAUCCUUCAUGCUGCUGUAAGAUGGGGAGAAGGUGAACAAUCAGCCGGAGCUCUGAUUGCUUACCUUGUUUGUCACCUCUUUCAGCAGAUCCCCUAGCUCGGCGACUUGGGGGACUCCUACUACAUGGUUUGUAUCGCGCUGGACCAAGCCUGAAACUACAAGUAAGCUUCAAGUGAAAUUGAUACAUUACCUUGUGCAUCUCCACCAGUUAAAGAUACCACCCCUGGAUGGAGGAAGAGUACUUCCAAAGAAGCUGCCACAUCUACCUAUGAGACAGAUAAGGCAAGUCAAGAUGAUACCACACUCCGAUACUUAGAAGUUUCGUGAUUACGAGAUCAUUCUCCCACAAUAUUUCCUAAUGUCAUUUGUACUAAAUCAUUCACUGGUACUCACUAAAGGAGAGCUUGAACCUAUGUACUUGUGUAAACCCUUCACAAUUAAUGAGAACUCUUCUAUUCCGUGGACGUAGCCAAUCUGGGUGAACCACGUACAUCUUGUGUUUGUUUUCCUAUCUCUAUCCAUUUAUAUACUUAUCCACACUAAUGACCGGAGCAAUCUAGCGAAGAUCACAAAAGCGACCAUUUUCGCUACCUAGGAUCUAUCUUGCAAGAGAACGGAGAAUUAGAUAGAGAUCUCAACCAUAGAAUACGAGCUGGAUGGAUGAAGUGUAAGAGUGCAUCCGGCGUGUUGUGUGACCGUCGUAGGCCACUGAAGCUCAAGGGAAAAUUUUAUAGGACGGCAAUAAGGCUAGCGAUGUUGUAUGGCACAGAAUGUUGGGCGGUGAAACAUCAACACGUACACAAAAUGGGUGUAGCGGAGAUGAGGAUGCUUCGUGGGAUGUGUGGGCACACGAGAAAGGAUAAUUGAGAAUGAGGAUAUUCGAGGUAAAGUAGGAGUAGCCGAAAUUGAAGGAAAGAUGAGAGAAAAUCGGUUCCGGUGAUUUGGACAUGUGCAAAGAAGGCCGACUGACGCUCCGGUUCGAAGAUGUGACUACGGGACAGAGGUUCAGGGCCGAAGGGGUAGAGGAAGACCUAGGAAAACUUUGGAAGAGACUCUAAGAAAAGGCUUAGAGUACUUGGAUCUAACGGAGGACAUGACACAAAACCGAGUGCAAUGGCGUUCUAGGAUUCAUAUAGCCGACCCCACUUAGUGGAAAAAGGCUUUGUUGUUGUUGUUGUUGUUGUUGUUGUUGAUUAUCUAUUAAGCAUACGAGGCUUGGGCUUGAAAAGUGUGGAGUGUGUCCGGCUUUUAACACUUCACCACCUUGCUUUCCCGGUAACAAUUAUGCGACUGCUAAAUACUAAUUUUGUUACAAGAGCAUGAUGAAAAUCAAUGAAAUUAUAUCUGUUAUUUGCUCCAUAUUCAGUUACUCCUCCUAGAAAUGUAAGAAAUGAUAGUUUGGUAUAUGAAUGCUUACUUUUCAAGUACUGGAAGAUGCUAACCAUAUUCCUCUCUAGGUACCCAAUGCUGGAAUCAAUUCAAAAGUAUCUAUGGCCAAGAUUAUGCAAACUUGAUCAACGAAAACUGUAUGCUCAUAGCUCCAUAGAGUCUUCAUAUAAAUUUGAGAGCACUACUUUCAUGUGCAAGAGUUCAUGUAAUUGUGUUUUUAUUUGUCAACUUAUGCUUUUACUGAUUAGUUGACUAUUGAACCACAGUUAUGAGCUGCACUACCAGAUGAUUACAUUUGGAAAGGUAUGCAUGCUGUUUCAUUAUUUAGAAUUAUUAUCUAUACAACAACAACAACAACAAAGCUUUUUCCCACUAAGUGGGAUGAUUAAACAAAAAUAAAUUACGCACCUCAUAUUUUGAUCGUUAUGCAGUUUUUCUGCACAAAGAGUAAACCAAAUUGCAAUGCAUGUCCAAUGAGAGGAGAAUGCAGACACUUUGCAAGUGCUUUUGCAAGGUUUGAACAAUAAUCUCUGAUAAUUUACAUAUAUGUUGCUGCCACUGUGCAGGAAAAAAAUACAUUGAAGCAAGUCAAUAGAAUCUCCAGAUAUCUCGAGACACAGGAUUCAGGGUCAAUUACAUAAUAAUUAGAAUUUUAGAAGGAACUAAGAAUAGUAGAUAGUUUCAUGGAGAAUCUAUAACUCUACGUUUCACUAAUCACGUGGAACAAUUAAGAUAUUGUAUUAAUCAAAUUGAUACCAACCAUGUUUGGUGCAGUGCAAGGCUUGCCCUGCCAGGUCCAGAAGAGAAGAGCAUUGUGAGUUCAAGUGUUCCAAUUGCAACCGAAAUAAACCCUACAUAGCUGUCACUCCCAUGUCACUGCCUCCACCCGAAAUCAACUCACUCCAGAUAGCAGGUGUUGAGAUUAACAAAUGUGAACCAAUCAUUGAAGAACCAGCAUCCCCAGAACAAGAGUUCACUGAGCUAACACUAAGUGACAUAGAGGACUUGUUCUACGAGGAUCCAGACGAGAUUCCUACCAUCAAACUCAACAUGGAACAGUUCACAUCGACAUUACAAAACUAUAUGCAAGAUAAGAUGGAGCUUCAAGAAGAUGACAUGUCCAAGGCUUUAGUUGCCUUGACUUCGGAAGCUGCUUCUAUCCCUACACCCAAGCUAAAGAAUGUCAGUCGACUACGAACAGAGCACCAAGUGUAAGUACAUUUCAUCCCAUAGUCACAAUCCCACAUAUUCAUAGCAGAACACUGAACACAAACUGAAAUAUAGUAGGGCCAAAGUCCACAGCAUGUUCAAUCGAGGAAAACAAACUUAGGUGUGUAAAUUUUGAACACGCCACUGUCAGAAUUCUUGCACAGAAUUUUAAUAACUCCCUGCCUGGAGCCAUAUGUUCUGAGUUUUAGCACACGUACCUAUACAAGCAUGUGUAUACAGACAUAACUGUAAGUCCUCUGACACACUUAUACAUUCUGUGCUGGUAUAAUGCAGGUAUGAACUACCAGAUUCACAUCCACUUUGAAAAGGGGUAAGUUAAAUUUAUAUGGGUAAUGCUAGGGAGACUAAAUUUGGAGACAAAAUUUGCAAAUUAAAUGAUGUGCCACCAAUAGGAAUGAGCACAUUUAUCAAUGCUUAAGUAAUAAACCAAUCAAUUUUCAUGUCCAUGUCCUUUAGUUUCCAAAAUUUUGUUUACAAAUUUAGUCUCCCUAGCAUUACCCAGUUUAUAUAUAUUAUAUCUACAAUACAUGAAGCAUUCUUAUUCUCAAUUAAUCACUAUUCGACUUUACAGAUGGACAGACGGGAACCAGAUGAUCCAAGCCCUUACCUUCUUGCUAUAUGGACACCAGGUAAGCACCAGACAUAAAAGAACUGAGAUACAUUGUUGAGAAUCUUGAGAUUAUUCAAAUUUAAUGCAAUUGAUUCACUAAACCAAGUUAGAACUUGGAAUACAGAUGCAUCGAUGGCCUAGCGCUAGCUAAAUUUGAAAUCGGAUGUAUGAAGUUGUAGUGUACAUCUUACUAAGCGAUACAUUUAUUUUAUUUAUACCAGGUGAGACUGCAAAUUCGAUUCAACCACCAGAAAGCAGGUGUGGCUCCCAAGACCAACACGAAUUGUGCAAUGAGAAGACAUGUUUGUCAUGUAAUAGUAUAAGAGAAGAAAAUUCACAAACAGUCAGAGGGACAAUUUUGGUGAGAAAAAAUUGAUUGUUGUAAUAUGUCAAAUACAAUAAACUACAUGCACUUCUUACCGAAAUUUAUUCAACUUGUUGCAGAUACCUUGUAGAACAGCAAUGAGAGGGAGCUUUCCACUCAACGGGACAUAUUUUCAAGUUAAUGAGGUAAGUCUUAUUCAAACUAAUCUCCUUGAAGUUUGUCUACAGAACACAGUCUGGACAAAAUUAAUAGCGGUCCAGAAUCCUGUACUCCACUUCUGUAAGCCAGAAUGUUAGAGCCAUUAACUUCCAGAUUUAUAAACAAAGUUCUAUAAUGAACGAUGCAGAUGUUCGCAGAUCAUGAGUCUAGUCACAACCCAAUAGAUGUUCCAAGGGGGUGGAUAUGGAAUUUGCCAAGACGGACAGUAUACUUUGGAACUUCUGUAUCGACAAUAUUCAGAGGUAAGUGAUAUUAAGACACCAGCAUUGCGACAUUCACAUCCCAGUUAGAGAUGUAUACUUACAACAACAACAACAACAAAGCCUUUUCCCACUAAGUGGGGUCGGCUAUAUGAAUCCUAGAACGCCAUUGCGCUCGGUUUUGUGUCAUGUCCUCCGUUAGAACCAAGUACUCUAAGUCUUUUCUUAGAGUCUCUUCCAAAGUUUUCCUAGGUCUUCCUCUACCCCUUUGGCCCUGAACCUCUGUCCCGUAGUCACAUCUUCGAACCGGAGCGUCAGUAGGCCUUCUUUGCACAUGUCCAAAUCACCGGAACCGAUUUUCUCUCAUCUUUCCUUCAAUUUCGGCCACUCCUACUUUACCUCGAAUAUCCUCAUUUCCAAUCUUAUCAUUUCUUGUGUGCCCACACAUCCCACGAAGCAUCCUCGUCUCCGCCACACCCAUUUUGUGUACGUGUUGAUGCUUCACCGCCCAACAUUCUGUGCCAUACAACAUCGCUGGCCUUAUUGCCGUCCUAUAAAAUUUUCCCUUGAGCUUCAGUGGCCUACGACGGUUACACAACCCGCCGGAUGCACUCUUACACUUCAUCUAUCCAACUUCUAUUCUAUGGUUGAGAUCUCUCUAAUUCUCCGUUCUCUUGCACGAUAUAUCCUAGGUAGCGAAAACGAUCGCUUUUUGUGAUCUUCGCUAGAUUGCUCCGAUCAUUAGUGUGGAUAAGUAUAUAAAUGGAUAUAGAUAGGAAAGCAAACACAAGAUGUACGUGGUUCACCCAGAUUGGCUACGUCCACGGAAUAGAGGAGUUCUCAUUAAUUGUGUAGGGUUUACACAAGUACAUAGGUUCAAGCUUUCCUUUAGUGAGUACAGGUGAAUGAUUUAGUACAAAUGACAUUAGGAAAUAUUGUGGGAGAAUGAUCUCGUAAUCACGAAACUUCUAAGUAUCGGAAUGUGGUAUCGUCUUGACUUGUCCUUAUCUGUCUCAUAGGUAGAUGUGGCAUCUUCUCUGGAAGUACUCUUCCUCCAUCCAGGGGUGGUAUCUUUAACUGGUGGAGAUGCACAAGGUAAUGUAUCAAUUUCACUUGAAGCUUACUUGUAGUUUCAGGCUUGGUCAAGCGCGAUACAAACCAUGUAGUAGGAAUCCCCAAGUCGCCGAGCUAGGGGAUUUGCUGAAAGAGGUGACAGACAAGGUAAGCAAUCAGAGCUCCGGCUGAUUGUUCACAUUCUCCCUAUCUUGCAGGCAGCAUGAAGGAUAAAGAGAAGAAAAAUGAGAAGAGAUGAUAUGGGAUACUUUUGCUUUUGAAGAAGUAACUUUCCACAGGCUUAUUCUUGAACUGAGCUGGAGGGUUUUCUGGUUUCCUCCAGAGUAUAAGGCCGACUGAAGAAUUUGAGGGUCAAAACAAGUCCAUCAAAUCUAGAGUACGUUCGACCCUGCUGAUAUGGGAUACUUUUGCUUUGACAGAGUAAUGGAUGUAUCGGCACGUGUGCUGUUACGCUUGUCUCCACAUGCUUCCUUGUAUCCUUCUCACUUGCCCUAUCUGUUCCUCAGGCAGAUGCGGUAUCUUCCCUGGAAGCAUAAGAUGUUGAAGAUGAGUACUCGAGAGCAAUGCCAGGUAAGUAAGGUUCCAGGCAGUCAGUUCCUGGCUGGAAGCUUGAUUCCAAGUGCUGACUGAUUGCUCUCUUUCUCCUUGUCUUGCAGGUAAGAACAAGGCCAAAGGAAAAGACAGGGAAAAAGCAUGAUAUGGGAUACUCUUGCUUUUAACCCUGAUGAUAUGAGAUAUUCUUGCUCUAGUAUAGCUUGUUUGCAGAGGUAUUAUCGGGGGGAAAGAAAGCUGAAUAUUUCGAAAGGCUUCGUUGGAGUGCCCUCUCAGAUAUGAGGAAGGGUUGAGCAUUUUUGCAGGUCUGCCUGUCCGUUGGGGAUGGAGGUCGACAUAUAUAGGAGUCUCCUUAACAACAAGUAGUAAUGCUAUUCCUUUAACCCUGUCAGAGCACUUUGAAAAAGUGGUCUGUGGUAUCUGGAAAGCUGAUGUUGCGUGUGAAGAUUACAGACAAGCUUUAUCCAAGGAGAUCCGGCUCUUGAAGUUGGGAAAGUGGUGCCUCUUCGGUUUUCGAACAAGCAAUCCUGUCGGGGAUCUGGCUCUCGAGAUUCGGAGAACGAUGCCUCUUCGAUUUUUGAGAAAGCAAUCCUGCUGGGGGUCUGGCUCUCGAGAUUCGGAGAGCGGUGUCUCUUCGAUUUUUGAGAAAGUAAUCAUGUUGGGAGUCUGGCUCUCGAGAUUCGGAGGGCGGUGCCUCUUCGAUUUUGGAGCAAGCAAUCUUGUUGGGAGUGUUUUCUCGAAUGUGAGUAAAGGUUGGGCAUGUUUGCUAGUCUACCUUGCCACGAAGCACAGAGGUUGACACACAGGGACUUUCCAAUUAUCCAGCAGUGGUACUGUUCCUUUACCCUCUCUUCGAUUUUUGAGAAAGUAAUCAUGUUGGGAGUCUGGCUCUCGAGAUUCGGAGGGCGGUGCCUCUUCGAUUUUGGAGCAAGCAAUCUUGUUGGGAGUGUUUUCUCGAAUGUGAGUAAAGGUUGGGCAUGUUUGCUAGUCUACCUUGCCACGAAGCACAGAGGUUGACACACAGGGACUUUCCAAUUAUCCAGCAGUGGUACUGUUCCUUUACCCUUGUGGGUAAUAAUAUGGUAGCUAGACCUUCAAAAUUUAUGUGUCUAAACUUUGUUAGUGUUGUUUCUUUGCUAUUCUUUUACCCUUCUUGGUCAGAGCGAUGUAGUGGAAGCUGCAAGCUUCACGUGUCUCAACUUUGUCAGAGAACUUUGGCAAAGUUAUCUGUGGUACCCAUGAGCUACUGUUGCGUGUGGGAAGUGGGUGAUUGAACAGUACGAUUCAUGUGCUUUCUACUUCACCAGAAAUCUUCGACAGAAUGCCCAUAAUUUCCGCAAAGCUGAGUGUGCGUGUGACAGGUGCUGACAAGGCUGGAAAAGUAGGUGCCUCUUCGAUUUCUGAGAUCGGCCCUCGUGGUCUCUGAGCAGCCCAGCUUUUGAGAAAGCAAGCCCUCUUCGAUUUCUGAGAUCGGCCUUCGUGGUCUUUGAGCAGCCCAGCUUUUGAGAAAGCAAACGCCUCUUCGAUUUCUGAGAUCGACCCUCGUGGUCUCUGAGCAGCCCAGCUUUUGAGAAAGCAAACGCCUCUUCGAUUUCUGAGCAGGCGCCUCUUCGAUUUCUGAAGCUCCGUCGAGUGCAGAUUUUUAUAGGGGCUGACAUUAAGUUCCAAAGCACACUUGAAUAUCCACCAGUAGAAGCUCCAUUCUUGCACUUCUAAGAUCUUGAUUUGUCCGACCUCUUCUCUCUUCAACACCUUUGAAAAUGUCUGGCCCCUCCGACCGUCGUUUUGACUUGAACCUUGUUGAAGAGGCAGCCCCGCCUUCUCCAGACAACAUAUGGCGCCCAUCCUUCGUCUCCCCUACUGGUCCUCUUACCGUUGGGGAUUCCGUGAUGAAGAAUGAUAUGACCGCUGCGGUGGUGGCCAGGAACCUUCUCACUCCCAAAGAUAACAGACUACUUUCCAAACGGUCUGAUGAGUUGGCUGUUAAGGAUUCUCUGGCUCUCAGUGUUCAGUGUGCAGGUUCUGUGUCUAAUAUGGCCCAACGCCUAUUUGCUCGAACCCGCCAAGUUGAAUCAUUGGCGGCUGAAGUGAUGAGUCUCAAACAGGAGAUUAGAGGGCUCAAGCAUGAGAAUAAACAGUUGCACCGGCUCGCACAUGACUAUGCUACAAACAUGAAGAGGAAGCUUGACCAGAUGAAGGAAUCUGAUGGUCAGGUUUUUACUUGAUCAUCAGAGAUUUGUGGGUUUGUUCCAAAGGCAUUUAUUGCCUUCGUCUUCUGGGGCUGUACCGCGUAAUGAAGCUCCAAAUGAUCAACCUCUGAUGCCUCCUCCUUCUAGGGUUCUGUCCAGUACUGAGGCUCCGAAUGAUCCCCCUCCGGUGCCUUCUCUUUCUGGGGCUCUACCGACUGCUGAGACUUCUCCUAAGCAACCUUUGUGAAGGCUCCCUCUUGUUUGUUUAUUUUGACUCAAGUAUAUGUACAUAUUUGUAACUUAUCGGGGAUAUCAAUAAAUAAGCUUUCCUUCAUUUCAACGUAUUGUGUUAAAUACACCAAAGCCUUCUUCGCUAAGUUCUUUGAAUUUUCUUUUGUUGAAGAUGCUUUGUGAGUGGAGCAUGUAGGUUGAGGUAGUGUUCCCUUAAUUUCCCGAGUGAGGAAAACUUCUCGGUUGGAGACUUGGAAAAUCCAAGUCACUGAGUGGGAUCGGCUAUAUGAAUCUUAGAACGCCAUUGUGCUUCUGGUCCUGUGUCAUGUCCUCCGUUAGAUCCAAGUACUCUAAGUCUUUUCUUAGGGUCUCUUCCAAAGUUUUCCUAGGUCUUCCUCUACCCCUUCGGCCCUGAACCUCUGUCCCAUAGUCGCAUCUUCUAAUCGGAGCGUCAGUAGGCCUUCUUUGCACAUGUCCAAACCACCGUAACCGAUUUUCUCUCAUCUUUCCUUCAAUUUCGGCUACUCCUCCUACUUUACCCCGGAUAUCCUCAUUCCUAAUCUUAUCCUUUCUCGUGUGCCCACACAUCCAACGAAGCAUCCUCAUCUCCGCUACACCCAUUUUGUGUACGUGUUGAUGCUUCACCGCCCAACAUUCUGUGCCAUACAGCAUCGCCGGCCUUAUUGCCGUCCUAUAAAAUUUUCCCUUGAGCUUCAGUGGCAUACGGCGGUCACACAACACGCCGGAUGCACUCUUCCACUUCAUCCAUCCAGCUUGUAUUCUAUGGUUGAGAUCUCCAUCUAAUUCUCCGUUCUUUUGCAAGAUAGAUCCUAGGUAACGAAAACGGUCGCUCUUUGGUAUUUCUUGAUCUCCGAUCCUCACCCCUAACUCGUUUUGGCCUCCAUUUGCACUGAACUUGCACUCCAUAUAUUCUGUCUUUGAUCGGCUUAGGCGAAGACCUUUAGAUUCCAACACUUCUCUCCAAAGGUUAAGCUUUGCAUUUACCCCUUCCUGAGUUUCAUCUAUCAACACUAUAUCGUCUGCGAAAAGCAUACACCAAGGAAUAUCAUCUUGAAUAUGUCCUGUUAACUCAUCCAUUACCAACGCAAAAAGGUAAGGACUUAAGGAUGAGCCUUGAUGUAAUCCUACAGUUAUGGGAAAGCUUUCGGUUUGUCCUUCAUGAGUUCUUACGGCAGUCUUUGCUCCUUCAUACAUAUCCUUUAUAGCUUGGAUAUAUGCUACUCGUACUCCUUUCUUCUCUAAAAUCCUCCAAAGAAUGUCUCUUGGGACCCUAUCAUACGCUUUUUCCAAAUCUAUAAAGACCAUGUGUAAAUCCUUUUUCCCAUCUCUAUAUCUUUCCAUCAAUCUUCGUAAGAGAUAGAUUGCCUCCAUGGUUGAGCGCCCUGGCAUGAACCCGAAUUGGUUGUCCGAAACCCGUGUCUCUUGCCUCAAUCUAUGCUCAAUGACUCUCUCCCAGAGCUUCAUUGUAUGACUCAUUAGCUUAAUACCCCUAUAGUUCAUGCAAUUUUGUACGUCGCCCUUAUUCUUGUAGAUAGGCACCAAAGUGCUCGUUCGCCACUCAUUUGGCAUCUUCUUCGUUUUCAAAAUCCUAUUGAAAAGGUCAGUGAGCCAUGUUAUACCUGUCUCUCCCAAAACUUUCCACACUUCGAUUGGUAUAUCGUCUGGGCCUACUGCUUUUCUAUGCUUCAUCUUCUUCAAAGCUACAACCACUUCUUCCUUCCGGAUUCGACGAUAAAAAAGAGUAGUUUCUACACUCUUCUGAGUUACUCAACUCCCCUAAAGAAGCACUCAUUUUCAUGUCCUUCAUUGAAAAGAUUAUGAAAAUAACCUCUUCCAUCUGUCUUUAACCGCGUUCUCUGUAGCAAGAACCUUUCCAUCCUCAUCCUUGAUGCACCUCACUUGGUUUAGGUCCCUUGUCUUCUUUUUCCCUUGCUCUAGCUAGUUUAUAGAUAUCCAACUCUCCUUCUUUGGUAUCUAGUCGUUUAUACAUAUCGUCAUAAGCCGCUAACUUAGCUUCUCUCACAGCUUUCUUCGCCUCUUGCUUCGCUUUUCUAUACCUUUCACCAUUUUCAUCGGUCCUAUCCUUGUAUAAGGCUUUACAACAUUCCUUCUUAGCCUUCACCUUUGUUUGUACCUCCUCAUUCCACCACCAAGAUUCCUUUUGGUGUGGGGCAAAGCCCUUGGACUCUCCUAAUACCUCUUUUGCUACUUUUCGGAUACAACUAGCCAUGGAAUCCCACAUUUGGCUAGCUUCCCCCUCUCUAUCCCACACACACUGGGUGAUUACUUUCUCUUUGAAAAUGGCUUGUUUUUCUUCUUUUAGAUUCCACCAUCUAGUCCUUGGGCACUUCCAAGUCUUGUUCUUUUGUCUCACUCUUUUGAUAUGUACAUCCAUCACCAACAAGCGAUGUUGAUUAGCCACGCUCUCUCCUGGUAUAACUUUGCAAUCCUUACAAGUUAUACGAUCCCCUUUCCUCAUUAGAAGAAAAUCUAUUUGUGUUUUUGACGACCCACUCUUGUAGGUGAUCACAUGUUCUUCUCUCUUCUUAAAGAAGGUGUUGGCUAAGAAGAGAUCAUAUGCCAUUGCAAAAUCCAAGAUAGCUUCCCCAUCCUCGUUUCUCUCCCCAAAACCAUGGCCACCAUGAAAACCUCCAUAGUUGCCUGUCUCCCUGCCCACGUGUCCAUUUAAAUCUCCUCCUAUAAAUAACUUCUCCGUCUGAGCAAUUCCUUGCACCAAGUCUCCAAGAUCUUCCCAAAAUUUCUCCUUCGAACUCGUAUCCAACCCUACUUGAGGUGCGUACGCACUAAUCACAUUGAUAAGUUCUUGUCCUAUUACAAUCUUGAUUGCCAUGAUUCUAUCUCCUACCCUCUUGACAUCUACAACAUCUUGUACCAAGGUCUUGUCCACGAUGAUGCCAACACCGUUUUCUCGUUCUAUGUUGUGCCCGAAUACCAAAGUUUAAACCCUGAGUUUUCUAGAUCCUUUGCCUUACUACCAACCCACUUAGUUUCUUGUAGGCACAUAAUAUUUAUCCUUCUCCUCACCAUAACUUCCACUACUUCCAUAGAUUUUCCCGUUAAGGUUCCUAUAUUCCACGUUCCUAAACGCAUUUUGCUCUCUUGAACUCUACCCUUCUGUCCUAGCUUCUUCACCCUCCCCGUCUAAUAGGAUCAAAGUACUUCUUUUGUGUGUCCCGGGUAAAGUUGAUAGGAGCAUAUGCUCCCAAACAACUUUGAGUGGAGUCGUUCGAAAAGAAGUUUCUAUGGCCCCCUUGCUCAUUUAACACUGCAUCCGGGUGCCGAUGAAGAUACAGCGACCCUUGCUCACUUAUCACUGUGCUCGGGCCGCACAGCGCGCCACUUACGGGUGACGCCCUAGCUUUAGCGCUAUUUUGUUCUGGAUUCAUUUUCAUAAGGAUUCGACGUGAUCAUGGAGUGCCGGCUGUCGACUACCUGACGCCCUCCCCCUCCUCCUUUAUCCGGGCUUGGGACCGGCCAUGUAAGACAUAGGCGGAGUUUAGAGAUGUAUACUUACAAUGAAAAUAAUUAUGUCUACCAGGUCUAUCAACAGAGGGAAUUCAAUACUGCUUUUGGAGAGGUAUGUGACACUAACUUCAGUUCAUUUCAGUUUGUGGAUAACUAUACAGGAACAUAGUACAGAAAAAAAAACAUAACUUCUCAGGACUAGUUAUAUAACAAAGGUAUAGUUACCAAUGGUUUAAGAAAAAGAAAAUGUAAAUGAUAACUUUGAACUAAUUUGUACUUUUUUUUUUAUGCAAAAGACAAAUCAUUGAUAAUGCAAUUAUAUGUAAGCCAAAGGAUAAUCAAGAUAUUUGAGUGAUGAACUUGUCCAGUGUGAGUGUCUUCAAAAGAAGGGGAAAUAAGAGGGAAAUAAAUCUGAGUAAAGUUUGGUGUGACUGCUGAAAACAUUCUAUCAAAGAACUGGUGCAUGUAAUUUAGCAGUACAAAGUGACAAACAAGUUUACUUAUUGACUGAUUGACUUAUAUGAAGGAUAUGUGUGUGUGAGAGGAUUUGAAAGAAAAACGAGAGCACCACGACCCUUAAUGCCCAGAUUGCAUUUUCCUGCAAGUAAGUUGAACAGGACAAAAAAUGAAGGGAAGAAACAGCACUGAUCACGAUGCAAAGGAGAUUUUCAUCAGACGUAUACAAGACUACUGACUGUGAGAAGAACAAUGACUAACAAAUUCUACCGCAUUCAAUUAUUCUUCCUCUAGAUGAGCAUUCAUUAUAUGACAGGCAGGCAGCUGAUAGUGAAGUAUCAUGCACAAUAUGUGAGAUCUCAUGAUCAGUUGAUUGUAGCCUGUAGGUACAUUAGUAUUUUUCAAUAAAUGCCCUAAAAGGAGCAAUCCUUCCGAAAAAUGUCACAUUGUCACUAUCCAAAAGAAGAAGAUUUCUUAAGUAGUCAAUAAACAAAAAGAAAAAUUACAUGUAUGGAUGCGUGAAUACAGAAUAUACAUUCGAUGAAGUGAUACACAGCGGAAAAGGCAAAAGACUGAGGUAAACAAAUCAUCCCAAGUACGGCCGGCCUAUACUUAAACAAGAAUGCCGUACCGUCCAGCGGAGCCUAGAAGAAGGUGACUUGCGCAGACAGCUGACUCCUUUUCAAUAAAAAGGAAUAGCCAAACCAACCUCUGGCUGGUCAAUCUCAGAAAUCUUAUCGGCCAGCAAACCGGAGACGCAAUGCACAAUUCAUAAACAUAUCCUAAUCCCUAAUUCCACAUUGCAUAAGAAAAAUUCUAGACGGCAUUUCUCAAAUUAUGUCCGGGGGAAAAGUCUAUCUAAGGAUCAUUAGUUUGAAAACAUUUAGAACAAUUUCUACACAAACAAAUAUGAUUCAUUAAAGAAUUUAAUCAAAUAUUAUACUGCUCAAGAAGGCUUCGAUUCAUUUAACAACCAACGUUUUGAAUGAAGUUAGCAGCAACUAUACUAAUAUUAUGAAGACAGGCAACUACAACAUUGUAAAUGACAUUUACCUGCAAUUGUAGAAUGAUGGUGAUGAAGAAAUUUUUUCAAGCUUCUAUUACUGCAUUAGUUUAAAGCUGAUACCACCCACAGUACUUCCGUUGAGCUAAUAUACCUCAAAUAAAAAUCUGCCUCUUAGACAUUAAUUUAAUUUGGAAACUUUCAUGAAAAGAACUUGGGCUAAGUUUAUUUUAACAAAAAAAAUCAUGUUAUAACUUUAUUUAAUGAAAUAAACUUAAAUUUUAGAGUAAAUCUCAGUUUACCACCUUUAAGUUUCGUGGUUUUCAACAUUUGGUACAUGAAGUUUUUUUCGUCCCAGAGUCAUACCUAAAGUGUUAAUUUUGGAACAGUCUCAUACAUCCGUUAGUCUAGCUGUUAAGUCUCCCAUUAACUGAUAACAUGGCGCUCACGUGAACAAUGACUAGGCGCCACGUGUCAUUAAGGGGUCCAAGUGGAAAUAAAAAAUUUAAAAAAAAGCCAAAAUUUCAAAUUUCAAAUUUUAGAAUGGCAACAGUUAAAAGUGAACCAAGUUUUACUCGAAGCGCACACCCCCAGAAAUCUUGAUCCCCCAUCUCUGUCCGAAACCCUACCAACUCGCCGUCACUCCACCUCGUCGUUGGUCCAACUCGUUGUCGGUCGCAUGUCGUUGUACGUUGCACACACCUUUGCACAUCAAAGAAGGGGCACCAUUUCUGGGCAAGGUUGUCGUGAAGCCAUCGCUGGUGAUGGGGUGGCAAAAAAGGAGGAUUGAAGUAGUUGAAACACCAGUUUAUUGUAAGUAACUUACCUUUUUCGAAGUGUAGAUAAUAUGGGUUUAGGUUUUCCGAUUUUUCAAUUUUGAAUUUUAAGGAUUUGUGAGUUCCAAUCCCAUUUUUUUUCUUUGGUUUCUGGAAUUGUGUUUUGUAUUGGGUUUCCUACAUUGUUAAUUGUUUUCAAUGUGCAUGUGGUUUUGUCUUCAUUCGUGGUCUCAAUUGCAGCCUUUGAAAACCAUGUAUUCAUGGUCCCCAUGGUUUUGUUUUCACCAUUUUGUCCUCAUGAUCCUACAAGUUAGUGUUUUGGGUUAACUUUUUGGGUUUUUAAACCUUUUCCCUUGACUUUGCAGGCAUGCCUGAAUUAUUUACCCUUAAAAUUAACCAUGGUGGGAAGUGGUUUGAAAAUGUAUAUACGGGAGGGUUUGAGGCUUGGUUUAAUUACGUAGAAAAAGACUUCAUGUCUUUUUUCGAGAUUGAUGAAAUGGUUAAAGAGUUAGGAUAUGACGAGUUUAUCUUGUAUCACUAUAGGAUUCCUGGGAUGUUUUAUAGGGAUGGAUUAAGGCUUAUUGAAUGGACCAAGAUGUGGGUAAAAUUUGCAAGUAUGUUCUAGGGACUAGGGAAAUAGAAAUGUACCUAGAACAUCUAAGUUCGAAGCAAGUUGCCAUGAAACAAAGCUUUUGAUGAAUCUAGAUGAGAGUGGCAUAUUAAAAAAAGGUGUCACUAUAGAAGAUAUUGAGGAAUUGAGGGUGGCAAUUUCGAUUACAAAGGGAAGUGGAUCAAAAUUGAAGAAGGGUAGAGCAAAAGGAGGUGCUGAUCACUUAGAAAAACGGCUAUGUCUUUUGAAUGACAUAGCCUACAAUGGUGAUGAACAUGAGGCUGAAGCAACUGGGGGAGGACAAGGAAGUGGAGAUGAGGCUGAAGAUGGUCCUUUCAAUGCUGAUAAUGAAUGUGAUGAAGAUGAUGAAGGUGAUGAAGGUGAAAAAGGUCACGAAGCUAAUGAAGUUAAUGAAGCUGAUGAAGGAAAAUGAAGUGCUAAUGAAGGGGCUAAACUAGAAGCUAAUGAAGGUAAAAAAAUUUAAACAUUUAUUUUUGCAAUUUUAAUUUCAGUAUUCAAUUAUUUUUGCAAAGUUUAGGUUUUUAACAAAUAUGCAUUGUUUGUGGCAGUAAAUGCAGAGGAUGACACUACUGAUAGUGAGUUUGUGGAGUGUGACUACAGUUUGGAAGAUGAUGAUCGUCAUGCAAUAGAUGAUACAGUUGUAUACACUGUGAUUAGAGAAGCUGAAAAAGGUGAAGGGGUUGGGAACCAACAUCCAGAAUAAGUUAUUAAUGCAAGGGAUGUAGAAGACGUUCCCCUUGAUGAUUAGAGAGAAAACUCAAAUGGCCUGCACAAUGUUGACAAUUCAGGUUCAGAAUGUGAUGAGAAGGUCAUCUACCCUGAGUUCAAUGAAGAAGCCGACAUGGAUGAUCCAAAGUUUCAAAAGGGAUUGAAGUUUCGAGAUUCUGCAUAGUUGAAAGAGGCAGUGUGGUCUCACUCCUUUAAGUAUGGUGCACCUUCUAUUAAGCUAAAAAUGAAUGAGAAAUGGAAGAUUAGUGCAAAGUGUGAGAAAAAUUGUCCAUGGAGAUUGUAUGCUUCUAGGAUGUAGAAUGAAGAUUCAACGCAAGUGAAAAACUUAUGUUGGGAAACAUGAAUGUCCGUGGAUUUGGAGGGAAAAUCCUAACUGCAAAGUGGCAUGGCUUGUGAAGAGGUAUGUGGACAAGUUCAUACUCAACCCAAGCAUGCCCAUCACUACAUAUAUGGAGACAAUGAAUGAGGAAAGAAUGGUUAAGAUCCACCUCAAGACAACAUACAGAGUGAAAGCACAGUGUUUGAAAAUCUUUGAGGGGAGUAACGUGGAUCAGUAUACAAAGUUGUGGGAGUACUGUGAUGAGCUGAGGAGGACAAACCCUAGUAGUACAUUUAAGAUGAAGGUGCUACCUUAUGAUGAUGCUCAUGUGAUAUUUCAGAUGAUUUAUAUUUGUUUGGGGGCUUGCAAAAAUGGAUUUAAGAAUGGAUGUAGGCAGCUUGUAGGGUUGGAUGGUUGUCACUUGAAAGGAGUGUUCAAUGCCCAGUUACUGUCUGCAAUGGGAAUGGAUGCAAAUAACCAAACUUGGGUUAUUGCGUAUGCCAUAGUAGAGCUCGAGAACAAGGACAGUUGGGUUUGGUUUCUAGAACUGCUAGCUGCUAACUUGGGAAUUAAAAACCAUUGUGUUUGGACUUUCAUUUCUGACAAACAAAAGGGUUUAAUACCAGCUUUUGAGAAGGCGCUGCCUAAUUGUAAUCAUCAGUUCUGUGUUAGGCACUUAUACACCAAUUAUAAGGCAGAUGAGUUUAAAGGGAGAGGAUUAAAGGAUGCCUUGUGGAAUGUUGCUAAGUCAACAACCACUGCUGAUUUUAGAGAGAGUAUGGCUGAGGUGAAUAGGCUAAAUAAUGAAGCUUAUAAAUGGUUGGUGAAGAGACUAGCCUUGCAUUGGAGUAGGUCACACUUUGAGACACACACUUAAUGUGACAUUCUCUUAAACAACCUCUGUGAGAGCUUACUGAGGGCUAAGGACAAACCUAUUAUUACCAUGCUGGAAACUAUAAGAGUUUUAUUGAUGAAGAAUAUAUGGUUGAGAAGAGAUGCAAUGAGGAAGGAUAAAUGAACUAUUUGCCCAAAAAUCCAAAAGAAGUUGCAGGAGUACAAGUUGAAAAGCUCAUACAUUAUAGCUACAUGGUCUGGAGGAGAAAAUUUUGAAGUGGAUGAAGGCAGAGGCAAUAUAUUUGUGGUGGAUUUGAAUAGGUGUACUUGCUCAUGCAGAAGAUGGGAUUUGACAGGCUUUCCUUGACACGUCCCGACCCCGAUAUUCCCUGAAUACCCGGAUAGGCACAUGCUGGCUGACACCUGAGGGUGACGAAAGCCAUUUAUUGAUUACAAGAGUAAUGAUUAGGAGAAAAUAGUCAUGAAUAACUAUUAGAAUCUAUAAGUAAUAAACAAAGUUUAAGGAAGUAUCUAGAGUGCACAGAACACAAUCUAAAACAAGAUCACAAAAAGGAAAGAUCAUUACAAGAUUUCACACAAGUGAGUGAUAGAUUGCUACUGGUAGGGGAGUGCCUCGUACGUUGUGUCGUAGCCCUCGUUUCUAAGACUUGAAUGGGGGCGCAAAACAAAGGUGAGUGGACCAAGUUCAUAUAUACAAUAACAAUAAAACAGUUAUCCAGAUACUAACCCCCACAGUUUAUAUAAAUAAAACUACUAGCAUAAUAAGUGAUGGAUUUAGUGAAAACCCUAGCAUGCCAAAAAUAUUUCAAGAGACAUAUCGUGAAACACAAAGUAUCAAAUGUCUCAUAAAUCGUCUCGUAGCACGAUGUACUACUAGUAAGAUCAUUGAAUAAAUAUAUAUCUCCCGGCUCUAUGCCAACACCGUGGUCUAUGCGCCCGUAGCCAGAGAUUACCAACUCCCGGCCCAAUGUCUGCUCCGUGUCCCUCAGCCCGUAGCUAGGGAUUAUUUCUCCCGGCCUAACUGCCAACACCAAAUCCUCGCCCCAGGCGGCAUAGUGUCCACUAGGUACGCACAAAUAGUUACGCCUCUCAUAAAUAACCACUUUAUAUUAUAAAGUCAUUCAUCGUCUAUACUAUAAAGAGGGGUUUCUAAAACAUGUUCUAGCAUCCUAUCGUCAUCCAUCAGAUAGUCUACCAGUUCAAGGUUUUUAUAGAAAAUACGAUAUAUUAAAAUAUAGCUCAAUAUCAAUGUAUUAAAAGCGUGAGGCGUGGGCGAAGCGUCCGAGGCGAAGCCCGGCCUAGGCGUGAGGCGAAGCCUUACAGGAAUAAUUUUUUUUUAAAUAUAUAUGUUUAUGUAUUAUACAUAUAAUUGUAUAAAAAAUAAUACUAUGUAAAAUAAACAUUCAUUCUCAAUUUUUCAUUCAAAUCCAUAGUCAUUCAAAAGAUAAUAUCAUCUAAAUUCAUCAUUCAAAGGUAAUAGUACCCAAAUUCAUCAUUCAAAAGGUAAUACAAACAAAGAAAACAAUCAUUCAUCCAAAUCUUUCCUAACUGCAUGCUAUUAAAGAAACAAAGUAAGAAAAAAAACAAAGUACAACACAUUAAGCAAAAUCUUUCCUAACUGCAUGCUAUUAAAGAAAAAAACAAAGUAAUUCCACACAAAGGUUUGCAAAUAAAUAAAGAAAAAAACAAAAUAAUUCCACUAGAAACAUCAAUUCAUUUCUGCCUAAACACAUAAAACUUUAUCACAACUCACAAGUUCUACAAGUUAUAAACACCCUAAACAAUAAAACCCAGCCCUACAACUAAAAGUUAUACGAUUCUGUUCUGCGGCUGCCUAAACAAUAAAACUCUAAUCUUAAAUUGGGGAUUUCUGGGCUUCCUGAUGGUGCUGUGGCGAUGGCGGUGGGGUGAGUGUGGCGACGGCGGCGUGGCGACUGGGAGAGGACAACGCCUGGGGUGACAACAGUUGUGUUCUCGGCCUCUGGCACGCGGGAGAAAAAGGUGAAGAAAGGGAUUCAAGCCUUCAAAGGUAUGGGGUGGAAUCUGUUAUCUGUAUUCUGUACCCAAGUCUAAAAACCCUUACCCAAACGGUGUCGUUUUGGGUUUGGGUGGGUUUUUUUUUUUUUUUUAAAAAAGGGCAGAAAGGCGCCUUGAGGCGCGCCUCCGCCACCUCGGCGUCUCCGGCGAAGCAUUUCGCCUACUUCAGCAAAACAGGGGCGUUUGCCUCACCGCCCAGCCUCAAGGGCGCCCUAGGCGCGCCCCGAGGUGAGUUCUUUACAACAUUGCUCAAUAUAGGCCAACAAUUAAUUCCUCACCAAAAACAAGACGAUAAACAACAUAUUUCAUACUUAACAUAAAAAUCAGUUCAUAAACUCAUAAGGCAUGCAUUUUAUUUAUGCAAUUAAACUAGGAAAUUAUGCAAAUUUUAGAAAGGGUCCACUCAAAGAUACUCCUUAGCAGUAGAGUUGUACGGAUAAGGAUUACAAAUUCCCUCACUAGCAACUUCACCUAAGCACAAAAAUAUAACAAAUAAAUAAAAGGAUUUUCUAAAGGAUUUGGGUUGAAUGGGUUAAUGUCUAAUGGGUUUAGGUAAAGGGUUUUGGUUUUGGAUAGGAAUAAAUGGGUGGUUUGGGCUUAAACCCAAACCCACACUCACACACAUGCACAGUCACACACACUCACUGUACACACACACGGGGCCUGCACACACCCACUGUGCAGCCCAAAACACAUCUCACACACAUACACACUUACACACGCACACUACACAAACAUACACACAUGCACAUCAUGCAUACGCAUGCACGGCAUGCACACACACACACGGUACACACACACACACAUGUAGUCCACAUACACAUACACACACACUCACGCACUGCACAGCCCAAAGGCCUCACACACAAGGUUGGGCCUCAAACCCUCAGUAAAUAAUAAAGGCCCAAAACUUUGUGGCCUUUAAAACAAAUAAUAUAAAUUAAAAUUAAGAAAUGGGCUGUGUUUUGUCUACGGGCCUAAAGCCCGUAGGUGUCCUAAGCGGCCUGAAGGGCCUGCGUGCUACUCGAAGGAGAAAGCCGGAGCUGCUACAGCUCCGGCCGACGGUUUUCUAGCAAACUAGGGUUCAAACUAAACACCAAAAUGAAGAGGGAAGAGAGUAGAGUAUUUCCAUACCCUUUCUUUGCCGUGAAACGGCCGUGAGUGCUCUGAAAAACUCGUGAAGGUUACGGGUUCGCCGGAAAAUAUGGGUGAGUUUCCCCCGUGUCGUUCCCGUCCUCAAAACCUUGGAAGAACAACAUAGUUUUCAUCACACAACGUCUAGCAACCAAAAUAGUAAAUUAAAAAGGUAAACAAACUUACCUAGCCUGAAAAGAAUGGAGGGAUCCGUCGGAGGUCCCUUCUCUGAGUUCCUCGACCUUACUGCGACGGAGAAUGAGAGACACGGUGCAAGGGAGAUGAUGAUGAAGAUGGUCUAAAUAGAGUUUCAUGCAGGAUGCUUGGCAGGUCACGGUGCAGGGAGUGAAGGGAGAGAAGAGAGAUCCGGUGAGAAAGAGAGAGAUGUCUGAGAUUGGAAAGUGUUUAGGGAAGAGAGGGAAGAGAACAGAGUCAGAGAGCUGCCACAUGGUAGUUUAGGAACAAUAGAGAAUCUAGAUCAACGACUAAGAUUAAAAGAGAAUAAAGGAUUAAAUUGAUAAUUUUAAAAAUGUUCUAGGGGAACAUAGAAAUAAAAUGGAAAUAUGGGGGUGGUUGUAACAUUCCUUGCAUACAUGGUUGCUCGGCCAUCUAUUAUGCAAGGAAACAGCUUGAGGAAUUUGUUUCCUCUUGGUACAAGAAGGAGAAGUACUUUGAAGCUUAUGAAAACUUGAUUCAACCCGUCCAAGACAUGAAAUAUUGGGAGUCAUAUGAAAACAAAUGCAUUCUUCCUCCAACUUUUAAAAGGCAGCCUAGGAGACCAAAAAAGAAGAGAAUAGGGAGGGUGAUGAAAUGAAUUCAAGUUAAGCAAGAUAGGGCAAAAAAGUGUGAAGUGUAGUAUUUGCAAGGGCUUGGGACACAACAAGGCCGGAUGCCCAACCACUCAUCCUCUUCUAACGGCUAGAAAAUGAAGAAAAAAAAAAGAGGUAUAAUUUUGAUAUUUUUUGUUGAUUUUUCAUUUCUUAAGUGAAUUUGUUAUUUGUGAAGUGUAGAAUAUGUGAGUGCUAAUGUUUUAUGGGUUCAUUACUUAGGCCUCAACAUUUAAGCCAUCACAACCCUCUCAGUCAUCACAACCAUGCACUCAGGAAGCUCUACAACCUUCAUCUCAACCAACUCAAGCCUCUCAAACCACUUCAAAGUCUACUGCAAGAAGUCAAAAAAUGAGGAGAAAUGUUCCAUGAUGUUGCUUUGAUGCUUUAGGUUGUUUAAGGGUUCAUUUUGUUAUAGUUGAAUAUGCCCUUAGUUUUUUUGGAAACAACUUUCGGAUAGAUCUUUAGUGUUUUGGACAGAUCUUUGGUGUUUUUGGUACUCUUAUUUUGGUUUAGUUGUGUACUUAUAUUUUGGAAGAACACCUUGACCCAAUAGUUGUUAAAGUUGUGGUAUUUUGAUACUUUCCUAUGAAUUGAAGGGUGUACAACUUGGAAUAUUGAACUUUGUUGUGAACCCUUGAAACUUUGUUGUGAACUUUGUUGGUAGUUUGUAGUUUAAAUGAAUUUGCAGAUUUAGAAUUGAAAGUUUGUUUGGAAUUGAAUUUGCAGAUUUGGAAUAGACAGUUGUGGUUUUUUCCCUAUUUUAUUUGAUUUUUUUUUCAAAAAAUUUUGGCAAGAAAAAAGGAAGGGCAGUACAUAGUUAUGGGUUAAAAAUUUGGGCGGGAAUUUUUUUUUAAUUUUUAAUUUCCACGUGGACCCCUUAAUGACACAUGGCGCACAGUCAUUGUCCACAUGUGCGCCACAUCAUAAGUUAACGGGAGACUUAACAGCCAGACUAACAGAUGUAUGAGACUGUCCCAAAAUUAACACUUUAGGUAUGACCUUGGGAUGAAAAAAACUUCAUGUACCAAAUGUUGAAAACCACGAAACUUGAGGGUAGUAAACUGAGAUUUACUCUAAAUUUUAAUGAAAAAUCCUUCAAAUAAAAGUGACAAAAGAACUUAAAUUUUAAUGAAAAAGACAUAGUUUUAAUAUUAAAAAAUUAUAAAAAAAACUGACAUUCGGGAUCCGCACGUCCUCAUACAUAUUAUUUAUGAAACUUACUUUACUAUUUAUGAAACUUAACGCACUACACUAUUUAAGAAAUUUACUACACUGUUUAUAAAACUUACUACAUUGUUUAUGAAACUUAACCGUACUACAUUGUUUAUGAAACUUAACGGUACUACACUGUUUAUGAAACUUGACGGUCGUACACUAUUUAUGAAACUUAACGGUACUACACUAUUUAUGAAACUUAAUGCGCGCUGGGCACACAUGUUUAUGUUUUAUGUUUUUUUCUUUUUGUCCUUAUCAUUAAAUAAAGUUAUUAGAUGAUUUUUGGUUAAAAUACAAAGUUUUGAAGUCUUUUUUUUUUAUUAAUUUUCCUUAAUUUUUAAAAUGGCAUCAAGAAUAGUAAAUGUAAUCUACAUGCAAUCCACAAACAUAUACUUCAUACAAUACUACUAUGCACUUAAACCACAUAAAUCCACCCUACAAAAUAGGAUAUCGCACUUACACACAUAUCAACAAUAUGUAACCCACAUAAACAACGCCGUCAGAUUGAGAGCAUAUUUGUAUUAGAAGUUCAAUUUCCACAUUGCAUGAGUCUUAAGGAUAAUUGUCAAAAACACAUUCAACAGAAGAUAUCCAAAUAGAUGUGAUAAGUCGAUUAAAAUCCCAUCAACAAACUGUAUAUGAUAAAGAUCUAACUAUGAAAAAGCAAUGUGCAAUUUGAUGCAAGGCAGAGAAAUCAAUGAAGGAGAAGAGAGAUGAGGCAACUGAUAGGAUUUUUAUCAUCUGUAAAAGUAGAGAUAAAAAUAUUUAAAAUACUUGUAAGGGUACAACGUAAUUGUAGUAUACAUGGCUCUAGCAAGACUGUUCUCCAUAAGGGAUUGAAUGAAUAAUUUAUAUCAAACCAAAUCUUAAUAAUUAUUUGAAAACAAAAUUUGUAAAAGGUUGCUUUUAUGAUCCAAAAUAUUAAAUACAAAUUUAAUUAAAAAUAAUUAAAUAAAUUGACAAAGUAAAGAAAACAAAAGAAAAUAGUUUUGAUCAAUUUAAGCAUUAGGGUACCGCCGUCACCUUAACAAUCCUAAGUAGUUCCUCCAAUUACUUAGGACUUCUCCAUGCAUAUUUUGAAGUUUAGGUUUUCCUAAAGUAUGUCUUACUUGGAACCUCCAACAUAGAACGUAUAUCUAACAUGUAACUCGUCUGUGGUGUUCAGAUUGAAUGUGAACAUGCAAAACUCAUUAAGUUUUGUGAAAAUCUUCUGAAUAACCAUGCAACCCUUAGGAUGUGGCAUUCAUCCUAAGUGAAGUUACACAUAUUAACCACAAGAAGCCUUAGUCAAUUUCAGGGACAGCCCUCCAUCAAAAUUGCAUCAAACUACUUUUCCAAGUAUUCUAAUGAUGGCCAAUCAUCAAAACAAUUAGAUAGUUUCAACCACGGUGAUUAAUAAUUCAAAACCUGCAUGCAUAAUAUUAAAAGCAAAUUGAAAAGAAACUACAUAUUCUUGUUAAGACUCGUGGUCUCGCCCUAGCAAGCAGAAAUUAGUUACGAACAAUCAUAAAACAAAAUAUUAUGAAAAACAUGAAUAGAAAACUCUUUGAAAAUAAACUUAAAUCGUCAAAAGUUCUAUAAACCGAGUUCUCUAAAGUAGUGCAUUCUCCCCUCCCUAAUGGAUAAUUAGCCUUAUUUAUAAUACUACAAAAUAAAAUCCUUAUUAGAAAAGGUCUUCUACAAACUAGGUAACAUAAUAGAAUAAGAUAACUAGGAAAUACAUUCCUAUUCCAACUUUGGGAAAUCUGCCCAGCCGCAAAACAACCACGUUUCUAGUUCAAGACUCCAAAACAGGCCCAAAUUGACUUGAAUUAAACCUUAGGACAUCCCAAACAUAAUUGCAGAAGGCCUUGAACCCAAAAGACAUCAUCUUGGACGCCAAAAAACCCAAAUAAGCCCAAAACGUCAUUAUAACAGAAGUGCACGCUGCUCCUUUAUUUCAUUGCCAUAAAUAAACAGUUAGGUAGAAAAUGUGAAACAUUGUUACAAACAAGAUAAGGAACUUGCAAACAUCCUUCAAUUUGAAUCACUCCAAAAUCCAUCCGUUCGAUCACGUUUUACUCCAGAGGAAGUCGAAUGUCCUAUAUUAAAAAUUUAAUCCAAAGUAUCAAAAUUUUCACAAAAUAACCAAUAAAUUAAUACUAAGAUAAGGUCAAAACAUAUAACACAAUAUCGAAUCAUCUGCAACCUUCUACCAUCCACAUUAAUAAUAGUCGUUGUAGCAUUUGACAGUUCGAGUAAGGUUUUUUUAAUUUUUUUUUCAAUGACUUUUAGAAUAAGGUUAAUAGCACAACAGUAUACCUUGAUCUCCUAUUCGAACAAUGUAACGGGCAAAUAAAUGAAAUAUACGCUGAAUGAUUUGAAAGUAAAGGUUAUCAUCAUUUUUUUCCAGAAAUUAUGCUAAACUUUUAAAUCAUUGACAAUUAUAUCAUGUCCUCAUAUAAGUUAGAGGCAUUCACAAUAAGCUAACUCCAAAGGUAUCUCCAUAGGAACCUUUAUAAAUAUAUGGAAUCUCACCAGAAAUAAAAUAAAUAGCAAGGAAAUCUAUAAGAAGCUGUAUGCUUUCCGUAGUGAAUAUUUUUUUUUGUACAACCGGUAAAUAUUAUUACCACAGAAAUUUUACACAACAAAGGCCCACACCAUAUAUACAAAGCAAAAGUUGACCUUACAAACUAUACACCAAGGGCACGUUUGUUUGGCUUCACCAACCUGGACUGUACAGGACUAAUUUUUAGUGUAAUCCUCUGUUUGUUGGCUGCCAAGACUAAGUUUAAUGGUAUUAAGUGGGACUCGCUUUCACUAACUCCUUCAUUAAGUGGUCCAAGCGAGACCUCCCAAAUACGAGCGGACUAGUUAAGACCAUCGUCGUCCUCCUGCUCGCUCGCUCUUUGUGUUCGUCCUACUCGCCCUACUCGUCAUGCUUGUCUAGAUCGUCGUGAUCGCUCGACUAACUACAUCGGCCACGCUCGCUCGCUCGAGCAGGCUAAGAAAUCGUCAGUCUCUCUCUCACUCGUCAUUUACAAAUUUCAUUUGUUGUUUUGAUUAUGUGAAAUCUGGAUUGCUUUGAUUUUGUGAAAUCUGGGUUGGUCUUAUGCUUUGAAAUUGCUUGUUCUUCAAUGAUUUUUGCUUCUGGGUAUUUUAUGAUGUAGUUGUACGGAUUUGAUUUCUGCUUCUGUGAAAUUGCAAAUUCCAUUUGCUGCCACUGUAAGUUAAUUCAUUUGUGUCUCUUGAUUCAAUCUUUGACUCUUGAUACAUUGUUUAGGUGGCUUUUAACCUCCUGCAUAGAGCUACUUGAUAUUGUAUCUGUCAAUCUAUGCGAGGUCCAAGGUUUAUCUUUCUAUUUACUAAUUUAUCUUUGGGGGGAAUUUUGUCAUAAUGAGUUAGAUAGAGGUGUUCUUAGGGCUCAUUUAGCAUUAUAAUCAAUUAAUAAAUGGAUCAUAUGGAUCAUUAUUGUUCCAUAAAGUAGUUAAUUGGUUAUCAAUAUCAUCUGUAAGGAGUGAUGUCUGGAUUAAGCUUGCAGCUCUGUUCCUUUGUUUGGCAAUUUUGUAUGGGUUGGAUGUAAGCAUGAAUCCUGGAUUGUAAGAUUAUGGUGCCCUUUAACUGAAGCUUGUCAUGUAUUUGAUUGAAAUAAUAUGAAAUAAGCACAACUAGUUGCUGAUGAUGAUCCAAUGUAGUUUUUGGGACCUAAUGAGACAAUGCUCUGGAUAACUGAAACAUUAGUACUGAAAAUGAAACAUGAUUGAGAAAGUCUUAGAAAAACAUCCUACCUUUAUAUAUAGGUACGUCAGAUAGGCACACUCUUUCUUUGGCUUUAUUCUUACAGCCAAUUCUCUGUUUAGAAUUGAUGAUAUUGGAGCAUUGAUCUCCUUAACCUCCUUUCCUUCAAUGAUUGGCUAUAUUUUCUUAUGAUAUCAUAAUAGGUUUUGCAAAAGGGGUAUGGAUGAUGGGCGUGAUUGAUGAGAUUCGAAUGCCUGUUACAGAAACAAACCGAAACCCAAUAUUAGUUGACACAAGGACUCGUGUGAAGGAUACACUUACUGUUGAACCACAACGAAGAAAUGGAAGGUAUGCACCUUUAUUAGCUUCUGUUUUGGGCUGAUUUUUUGUUGCCAAGUUGCCAUUGAUGAGGAAAUGCACCAGAAUGAAGUCACACUUUAUUAUGGCAGGCUUCAAUUAAUGUGCUACAAGUACAUUUGGGAUGAUAUAGUUGCUGAUAAAUUCCCAUCAGAGAAAUUUUUCACUUUUUUUCCUUAAAUCCUCAUGGUAUCUUAUAUGAAGAAAUCAGAGAGAUGGCUGCUAACUCAAGGUUCCCAGCAGAGGUUAAGUCUCUCCAUUGAAUUAUUUGAUACAUUUAGUCUAGGAAAUCAGGAUUUUCGGGGUUUUCUAUUGUUUGAUGUUCCCAUUAUCACUAUACUUGCUUCAAAAACCAAUCACUUGAUAUUAAGGAUGCAUUUUUUUAGUAAUUUGUUUUGUUUAUUAGUUCAUAAACAAAAUUGUGUGACAUAGAUUUUUCAGAUAAUUACCACUGAUGACAUAGGUGAAAAAAUUGUUUCAUAAACAAAAUUUGUUUUGUUUAUUAGUAAUUUGUAUAGGUAAACAAUUUCUCUUGGUUGUGCAGACCCUUGAUGACAUAGUGAGAUACUACAGAAACACAUGUAGCAUGCUGCCCUCUACACAUGACCAGCUGCUAUUGAGGUGAGUAUAAAAUUUAUACACGAGAUCUUUUACAUUUGCUUGGUCACAAUAACUUUUGGGAAGAUACUGAUAUGACUAUUUUUGAGUCAGAUAUGAGUUAUAGAAAGAUCAUUCGUUACUUGGUGAAGAUGAGUUUGCAUACGACUCUGAUUGGGUCAAGAAUCAAAUACAGGGUUGUCUUGAGUUCUGGUUAGGAGAGCGAGAAGCAAGUUACACUCUUAAGGAUGAGGAAUGGAAAUGCAGGUUCUGUCAAUAUUCUUCUGUUUGCCCCGCUAGAAGUGCAGAGUCUGCAAACUAUACUAAUACACCAAGUUAGAGAAAAGCAGUAGCAUUGGUGAUGUUUCAAUCAACAUCGUCAGUAGGCCUCGUUUGGCACGCCGUAUAAAGCAUCGGAUAGGAUAAAUAAUACGGGAGUAGUUGUUUGGUGCACUCUCGUACUAAAUAAGCACCCGCUUAAUUAUCCGGCCCAUCAAAUUUUAUACGGUUGACACCGUACUAUUAAAACAGCCCAAAAGCUCGGGAUAAUUAGUCGGGGCGUUGUCCUCUCCAACUUCACGAAGCCGCCGUUAACGACUUCUCAAAGUGGGCCUUCGAGCAAUUCCUCGACGAGUUUUCCACCCUAGGCGCCACUCCUCUGCAGUCAUUCUCCGACUAAUUUCCCGUCUCGUCCGACGGAAAGCACAUAGAGGAACAAAGAAGAGAGUGAGAGAAAGACAAAAGGAGACCAGUAGCAAAAUAACAUAUUCCACAGGGAUAUAUAGAAAGGGGCGGAUGGAAGCUAAGGAAUUCGCCAACUGGAGGCGUCACUCAGCUCUUCCCCUCCUCCAAAUCGAAUUUUGUCAAUGCUUUUCCCCAACCUAAUGCCCAAAAUCAGUCAGCCCCAUUUUUCUCUCCGAUGAGUGUUCUUGGUUUGUUGAAAAAAAGGUGUCCUUCGUGAAUUUCCUUCCAAUUGUUUUUUAGGACAAAUAGAAAACAAAUUCCUUUGUGUGAAUUUUCUUGGUUUGUGGUGUGUUUUUUUGCUGGGUUGAUUUGUAGCUAAAAAAAAAGGGAAGGAUUGGGAAAAAAACGAUGAGAAUUUGAAAGGUGGGUUUUGUUGGGUUUCUUGUUGCUACCUUUGUGGUGGGGUUUAGUUCAAGGGAGCAGACGGGGAAGAAGAAUAAGGGAUAGAAAGGGAGGGAGUGAGUUUGGGGGGGGGUGCGGCGGAGAGAUCUGGAACAAGAGAGAUGAUUUCAGUUUUUUUUUUUUUAAUUUAAUUUUAAGUUUGAUUCCUUCUAUCCGAUAUAAUACCAAACACAGUAUAAAUAAUACGGUCAUUAGUCCGAUACUGCACCAAACGCCCGACUAAUUUAGUCAGUACUAUCCGAUGACUAUUUAUCCUAUCCGGCAGAAAUAGUCAGUACAGUCCGAGCUGCCAAACGAGGCCAGUGUACAAAGAAGCACAAUUCUUGGAGUUGCUUCUUUGGGGUAAUUGCUGUGUUGGUUGUGCCAUGAAUGUAUCGUAGCCGUUGUUUGAUUCAAUUGUUGUAACUUAUUCUUUGGAUGAAAUCAUUAAACAGGAGUUGUAAAUUCAAUUGUUUUGUAUUGAAAGCUACGCUCAAAGUGCAAAGGAUGUCUCUCUAUCAAAUUUAGCAAAGUCAGAUAGUGAUGUUACAAUAGUAUGUUAACAUUAGGAUGAAUGAAUAUGGUAUUAUUCAUGGAUUUUGGGAGGCUGUGAAGAAGAAAUCAAAAUUUUCUUCCUCCAAAUUUGUGGUCUGAUAAGUUUGAGUUUUUAACAAUUUUGGGUUGCUGAAUGUUUAUAGAUUUCUCAAUUAUAGAGGCUUAAAGGGAUUUUAGACCAAAAAGUGAGAAUGUUUGAUGUACUGAUUCUAAAUUCCUAAGUUGUAGGAAAGCGCUGUUUGUUUUUGCAAAUUGCAAUGCUACAAUGCACAAAAACUCAAUAUUUUCUUUCGUUUCCAAGCAAUUGUUGUUGAGUUUAAUGUAUUAUCAUUUGAUUUGACUGUGGGUAUUUUGCAGUUGAGUUGGAUGUAAUUCUAUCGUUAAAAUUUGUAAUUUUACUAUUUUUCAUUAUCCUGGUUUUUAGUCUGACACUGCACCAAACGCUUCACUAAGUUAGUCCACCUUAGUCUAUUCUAAGCCAGUCCAGCUUAGUCCCUGAAGCUAGUCCAGUCCGAGAUAAUCCGGUGCAACAAACGGGCCUAAAAAGGGCUAAGGCCCAAAAAUAAAAGUACACUGAAAGAAAACCAUAGUCUUCUGCUACAUACGCCACUGCAGCACCACCGAGCAGCAGGAACCAAGUACAACAACAAGAGCCAAAAUUCCGACCAAUUAACGCCUCAAAGAUGGGAGGAAGGAAGACCCCAUAAUCGAUCAAUGAAACCAUAUCCGAACCCAGCCACCAAGUAGAAAAAAAAAAUGAAGCUUGUGAGAUUCCCGCAAACGACACUGCCAAUAAAGGCAGACCGAGAAAAGGAGAUGGUGCAGACACCCGAGUUGAUAAGCAUACCGAAGCUCUACACACCUUCUCAAUUGACUGCGACAAAUCAUUGUUAAAAGUGACUGCAUAUCGAACUUGGGAAGAAAUUGGUGAAAGACGGAGCCAAGUCAAAGAUAGAGGAGAUCAGAUUUGUGGGGGAUGGACGAGGGACAUGAAGGUUGAGGGAUGUAUCUGAGGACAUAAUUGAGUAGGAACGAUGGCAAUAAGGGUGCAUAGGUCAUACUGAUCAGGAUGGAUAACAAAGGGAAAACAGUAACAGAAAAGAAUGAAGAGAAAAACAAAAAGGAGAAGGAAAUGCCUACUAGGUUGGCGGCUGAAUGAAAAAUCAAGAUGGGAAACCGCACACAAAAGGUGAGAAGAAGUCUCAGUUAAAGAAAGACUCUCACAAACACGGGAGAGAAGUCUGUGCAUAAACCAACAAAGAUAUCAGAUAUCAGUUGGGCAUAGAAACCUUGAUUGUACAUCUCAAAUUCCACUUUCCAGAACUUCUGUCAAUUAUGAAUGUCACCAUAAUCUGGCAUUCAGGGAAAAAGUGUACAAAUUGUCGAUGGGUUGGCGAUACCUAAGUUAGUUUCUUUGAAAAAAGUGAGUGUUUAGGGUUUUUUUGUAUAUAGAAAUGCUUAACCUUUUGGCGGAGAAGUGGGGUAUUUGUAGAGGAGGUAGCCAAUCAUAAGGGUUGAAUUUAGUGAGAAUAUUCUCUAAGAUAUUGGAAUUACUUAGUUGAUAGGGUUUAUCUUCAAUUGGGAGUGUGUUAAUAAUAGGAUUUAGGAAUAAUCCUAUCAUUAAAUAUCUUUGACUUUUUUCACGAGCAGUGGUGCUCUGAACAGUCAUCGUCUAUUACCUACAUGGCCUUGGAUGCUGAGCUGCGCAUAGAAUGCAUUGCUCAUUUAAUAAGGGCAAUCUUGUCUUUUUCAGUUGAAAGCACACAUGUCGUCUCUAAGAAUUUUGGGAUUAUUUUUUACCCUACACAAAUCAUUCUCACCACAUCCAGAAUUAGCCUUCAAAUAACUCCAUAUUACACUGACAAGCGUACUAGGAAUGACCGUAAUCCCAUCAUCCACUUUAGGAGAGUUUUUCUUAAUCAACCAUUGGGGUAUAAUAUUUAAUUAUUUAUAUGGAACAACCUCUUUUACAAAGUAAAAGUAAGCUGUCUACGUUAGACAUUCACCUCGACUUUUACAAAAUGAGAAGCCUUGUUGGGUAGAGGUGGCUAUAUUUUUUUUACUUAGCAAAGCACUCAUUUUUUAGAGGACUUGGAUUCUCUGCCCUCCAAUUUUGGUACCCUCUAUGUGCCCUCCUUUUUUUGUGGUCACGGUUAAGCCACGUUAACAUUUUAUAUUAAUAUUUCUUUUUGUUUUAUUAUUUUUAUAAAAAAACAAUAUAAAAUAUUAACGUGGCUUAACCGUGACCACACAAAACAGGAGGGCAUGGAGAAGGCACCGAAGGGCAGAGAAUCCAAGUCCUUUUUUAGAAUCGUUUGAAUAGACAUUCAACAGUUUCAAAAGAUUAAUGUCUAGGUUCAUCUUUUGGGAAAACGUCCAAUUUUUUUAUAUUAAAAUACGUCCAAAUUAGGAUUAUUUUAUUCAAUAAUUAUUUCUUUAAUGUUAAGAUUAACUAUAAAAGUUAAAUUUCUUCAGAAUUCACUCUUUAAUUAUUAUUAUUAUUAUUUUGUUAGAUCUUAUUCUUCUUCAUGCUCUAAACACCAUUCAUAGAUUUUAUUUUCAAUUUGUAUAAUCAAUCUAUAUCACAGAUUCAUUGUACUUAUCUACCAUAGAUGAGUUAUGCCACUCAAGGAGACUAGAAAAUAGUAUAAAAAGUUACAAGAGCAUCUGUAAUGAAAUAUGUAAAAUGUCUUUAAAUUGACAUGCCACCCACUUUGGCAUUCAACUUGGUAAAUUUUUAUGCACAUGCUUUUGUUGGGUUAAAUAGUGUUUGCUUUGAUAUCGUUUUUUUUUUUUACAAAUGAUACUGUUAGUGUAUUCAAUUGUUAAGUUGUUUGGAGAAAAAAAAUCAAUGAGAUCAAAUUCGCAUCAAUACUGUCAGUGUGUUAAAUCACUACACAAAUACUGUUAGUUGGCAGCCUCUAAUAGUAACAUGCAUGUAAUUAUCAUUUCUCUUGGAACAAUGAAAGAAAUUGAGUUAUUUAUUUUUAAAAAAAGGAAUUGACUCAUUUAUUUUGAAUUGACUAAUUUAUUUUUUAUUGACAUGCAUACUUCAUGGGUCAAUAGAGAGAUGGUAAGGCCAUCUCCAAUCGAACGAGGGCCAUAAGGCUUGUUUUAGUCAUCAGGCUCACCAAGAUAUUAAUAUUUUAAUUAACAGUAUAUGGCCAUAUUUGCCUUCAUCUCCCAACCGAGGGCCAAAGGGUCAUAGGCUCGUUUUAGCCUUGUCACAAAAAACCGUCUCCAACAAAUGGCCAAAGGGCCAUAGGGUCAAACAUAAUUUAUUAUUUAAAUUUAAUGUUAUUUAUUGUUGUUUCAUAUUGUUUAAUGUUGUUUCAUGUUACUUAAUUUAAUUUAAUGUUGUAUAAUGGCUUAGGAAGUUAUAGGACAAAAAUAGAAUUAAAAAAAAAUAUUAUAAAUUUUGUAAAAAAAAAGCCUACCAUUCCUAUCGGAUAUAACUGACAUGAAUAAAUGCAAUGUUGUCGGUUAUAUCUGACAGGAAUAAUGAAAAUCCAACCCCACCCAUGGCUGGUUGGCUGGCUGGAUUGAGCUAGCCGGUUGGCCCUUUAGCCCUUUCAGAUUCUGUGGGGCCCACAAGCCCUCUGGCCUAGCUCUCGGUUGGAGACGGUUUUCGGGCUAUUUUCAGCCCUCUGACCUUCUAGACCCUUCGGUUGGAGAUGGUCUAAUACCCUUUGCAGGCCAAUGGUAGACCCCACCUUGGACAUCUUUGUUUUGUCUGGAAGAUCUUGCAUCGUUCAACUAAUAAAGACUUUGGAGCGAAACCUCAUGAAAAGCAAGAGAAAAACUACGAUUUACACUUUGUAGAAAAUUCAUUGGCUUCCAUUUUUUUUCUAUACAAAUCUACAUUAUGGGAAGAGAAAAAGCUUGAACUCGAGAUGCAGUAAAAUGAAGAAAAAAAAUUUAAUUAUCAAAACAAUUCAGCGCUUACCAACAUUUUUUUAUUUUUUUAUUUUGGUGAAGGUAUAUAAAUUAAUUAAACUUGUAUUAGUUUUAUCAAUUCUUUCUUGAUUUGCUUCAUUAUUGUUAUGUUUUUGUUAAUAAUUCUUUAACCUUAAGACUUAUUUCAGCAUUCUGAAAGGAUUUGACUAGACCGAUCUAUAGAUGAGUAAUGUAACUCAACCUAAAGUGAUUACUCCGCAAGAAAAGCAAAUUCUCGCUAACAAUUCAUCAUUCCAACCCACCACGUGCAAUUAUUGAUCUCAACAUUUAAAAUUACUGAAGAAGAAAAAGAAAAAUGUUGCAACACAUUGAUUUGCAUGGGAAACUGAGAACCUAGAAACUUUGAAGGAUCAUAACUAAACAAAAAAUGGCAAACUCUUUCAUUCUUUUUCUGGUAAAUAAUAAAAAAAAAAAGAACAAUUCUAUAAGGUUGAAUAAAAAUUUGAUUAAUCAUUUGAUAUAAUUGCUAUGCUUAGUGUGUGACUCGUUGGUUUUUUUUAGGGUUGGGAUUCAAAAAAAUGGACAGCCCAUAGUACAAACUGAUAACUAUAGAACUAAUAACCAACUACUAAACACAAUCGUCCCAACGGGGAGAUUUACAAUCACAAGGUCAGUCUACAAGAAACUGGCAGAGCUUUAGCCAUUGGGCAAUCCAACCGAUUCCAACCCUCUGGACCCUUCGAUUGGAGAUGGUCUAAUACCCUUUGCAGGCCAAUGGUAGACCCCACUUCACUUGGACAUCUUUGUUUUGACUGGAAGAUCUUGAAUCGUUCAACUAAUAAAGACUUUGGAGCGAAAUGAUAGGAUUAAAAGCACACUACAAAGUAGCACACAAAUGUCCUAUUGAUUUUCCUUAUUAACACUAAGAUUUGUCAAUUGUAGCAUAUGAAAAUAAGGGUCUUUCCUGCAGAAGAUUGUUUUAUCUAACUACCUAAAAUGUCACAAAAAUUGGGUUGUUGUCCCUACUGACCAGCCACCGAAACAUAAUUAUUAGACCGACUUAUACUUAUCUAAAGUCUACAAAAUUUUAUAUGCAAAUACUAGACACACAUAGCUACACUCACACAAAUGUUUGGGAUUUUUGGAGUUGAUUUGCUAUUUAAAUUAAAUUGAACAAAAACAGGACAGAAACAAAUUUUAACUAGUUCACAAAUUAAGAAAAACGAGUUAGGGGAAUUGCUAUCCACCACCAAAUAAUCAUGCAAACAUGUUAUGUUUCAUUCAAAUUCCUUUUAUUUCCGGAUGAAGAUGCUCAAGUUGGCUCAAUGUUAGAACUCAAUCUAUUACUCUUUCUUACGUAGUAUGUUAAGAGAAUGGCGUUUUCAACUUAACUUAGUUCCUAGCAUGCAAUCUAGAAUGACGUGUUCAUAGAUUUAAUAAGAAGAAAUCAUUAAGAACGAAAAGAGUUUGAGUCAUCACAAGGCAUCGUAAGUACUAGCGUUGUCUUACUUAUCCUAGAAAUUGGUUCACAUGUUAAUCGCAAUUAACAAGUACUACUCUAGAACAUAUGUAGGUCCUCAUUCGACAAGGGCAGGCACACACAUAUUCAUAGCAUUAGAAUCCUAGAUAUGCUUACUAAGUAUGCAUCCAUAGAAAACAAAUAAAGAAUUCAUCAAUGAGACAAGUAGUGAACCAAUUUUCAUCAAUUCAUAAAAGUAAUUCAAACGAAAUGUCAUAACAAACUUGCAAUCAUAUUUGGGGCUUCAAAACAGCCCCUAACUUCUAAAAAUUUAGUUACACAUAGUUCUCAAAUUAAACCAAAAGAAAGACAUGAGUUUGAGAAGAUAAAACCGAAAAAAGAGAAUGUCAAGAUUUCCUCCUUUCUUUCCUUCCUUCCUCAACGCAGCAGCCUUGCCUUUUUUUCUUCCUUUCCUUCUUUUUUUUCUAUCUUUUUUUUCUCAAAAAAAAACUCCUAUUUUGCCGCUGCAACCUGCAGCCUUUAUGCCCAUGCUUGCUGCCCCAUUUCUGCUCCAUAACUCACCCCACUAACAGCCAUUUAGUGAUGACAAUAAGUAAGAGGAAAUGGUAAAAUAAUUGUAACUCUUUGGGCCACCUUUAUGCCAAUUACUCCCACUUAAUCCUCAUCUUUAAUUCCAUUUCAUCUGAUAUUUGAAUAGGUGUCAGCGGGCUUGUUCUUGGCUGCAUCAGUUUUGGCUGCUAGUUUUAUUGGAUUUAUUGCCUUCAAUGCAGUUACAAACUGCUCAGCGUCUUGGAAACCUUUCAGUGUUAAAAUGGACAUAACUUCUUCUAGAAAAAUGAUAUUAAAAAUACGCGAAAUUCUCCAGAAAAUAGACAUCCGUAGUUUUCCAAGAAUAUAAGGCUCAUUCUCUAAUUCAUUCUGAGCUGUUCGCAACUUAAUUCCAAAAUCAGCUGAUCAGGACAGGCAGUUUUGACAAAUUUGUUACUUAAAAUCCCACUUGUGCUAUUUUUCUUUUAUUUGCUUGACAAAUCAUACAAACCACAAAAAGAAAGUAAAUAGCUCAAAAAUAUAAGGAACUAACUAAGAAAAGACAAGUGAAUUUGAUAUAAAAUAUAUAAAAAUAUGAGCUUAUCACAAAAUCUCAUGGAAAGCAAGAGAAAAACUACGAUCUACACUUUGUUGAAAAUUCGUUGGCUUCCAUUUUUUUUCUAUACAAAUCUACAUUACGGGAAGAGAAAAAGCUUGAACUCGAGACACAGUAAAAUGAAGAAAAAAAUUUAAUUAUCAAAACAAUUCAACACUUAUCAAUAGUUUUCUUUCUAGUAGUUUAUUUAUUUCUUCAUAUCAAUCAAUGUGCAACCAACAUUUUUUUUUAAUUUUAUUUUGGUGAAGGUAUAUAAAUUAAUUAAACUUUGAUUUGUUUUUAUCAAUUCUUUCUUGAUUUGCUUCAUUAUUGUUAUGUUUUUGUUAAUAAUUUUUUAACCUUGAGACUUUUUCAGCAUUCUGGAAGGACGUGACUAGACCGAUCUAUAGAUGAGUAAUGUAACUCAACCUAAAGUGAUUAUUCCGCAAGAAAAGCAAAUUCUCGCUAACAAUUCAUCAUUCUAACCCAUCACGUGCAAUUAUUGAUGUCAACAUUUAAAAUUACUGAAGAAGAAAAAGAAAAAUGUUGCAACACAUUGAUUUGCAUGGGAAACUAAGAACCUAGAAACUUUGAAGGAUCAUAACUAAGCAAGUGUGGUAACAAUAUAUAUGUCUAUGGAAGCUAGUUAAGAACUCUGGUGUAAAAACUCGAGUAAGAUUUUUGCAUAAAAGUUUUUGUGGAAAAGUGAUGCAUAUUGGCCAACCAUUGGUUUCAAGUGAAAAACCAAGCAAUCCAACCGAUUCCAACCCUCUAGACCCUGCGGUUGGAGAUGGUCUAAUACCCUUUGCAGGCCAAUGGUAGACCCCACUUCACUUGGACAUCUUUGUUUUGACUGCAAGAUCUUGAAUCGUUCAACUAAUAAACACUUUGGAGCGAAACCUCAUGGAAAGCAAGAGAAAAACUACGAUCUACACUUUGUAGAAAAUUCGUUGGCUUCCAUUUUUUUUUUUUCUAUACAAAUCUACAUUAUGGGAAGAGAAAAAGCUUGAACUUGAGACGCAAGAAAAUGAAAAAAAAAAUUUAAUUAUCAAAACAAUUCAAGCUUAUCAAUAGUUUUCUUUCUAGUAGUUUAUUUAUUUCUUCAUAUCAAUAAAUGUGCAACCAACAUUUUUUUUUAUUUUUUAUUUUGGUGAAGGUAUAUAAAUUAAUUAAACUUUGAUUUGUUUUAUAUCAAUUCUUUCUUGAUUUGCUUCAUUAUUGUUAUGUUUUUGUUAAUAAUUUUUUUAACCUUGAGACUUAUUUUAGCAUUCUGGAAGGAUGUGACUAGACCGAUCUAUAGAUGAGUAAUGUAACUCAACCUAAAGUGAUUAUUCCGCAAGAAAAGCAAAUUCUCGCUAACAAUUCAUCAUUCCAACCCACCACGUGCAAUUAUUGAUCUCAACAUUUAAAAUUACUGAAGAAGAAAAAGAAAAAUGUGGCAACACAUUAAUUUGCAUGGGAAACUGAGAACCUAGAAACUUUGAAGGAUCAUAACUAACCAAGUAUGGUAACAAUAUAUAUGUCCAUGGAAGCUAGUUAAGAACUCUAGUGUAAAAACUUGAGUAAGAUUUUUGCAUAAAAGUUUUUGUGGAAAAGUGAUGCAUAUUGGCCAGCCAUUGGUUUCAAGUGAAAAAACCAAGCAAUCCAACCCAUUCCAACGUACCUGGACUGUACUGACGUAGUCAUACAAACACCUCAAGCUAUCGAGUACAUGAUGGUACUUAGGUACAAUGGGUACACUUCUCAUGAGUUCUUAUUUACAUACAUAAGUGUGCGCGCACAUAUCUGUCUAUAUAUCUAAUUAGAUAUGUUACUCUAAUUCAGCAAUAGCUUCUAACUGAAUUUUUAGAUUUCUUGCAGGUGUAGUUGCAUUUGUUCGUGCAGGACCUGUAGAUGCAAAAGGAUUGGGAGGCAUGGUUAAGAUUUCUCCUCCUUCCAGCAUUUGAACAACUUCUUUCAUGGAAGGACGACCCGCUGGCUGCCACUGGAUGCACCAGAGCCCUACAAUUGCGAGUUUCUUUGGAGUUUUACCAUCUCCAUCCUCCCCGAGAUGGAUUCUUAGGUCCUCUCCUUCUUCUAGAAGAUUAUAGAUCCAUUCUGGAUAGUAAAUUUCAGUUGGGAUUGCUGAGGUUGGAUCAAUAUUCUUCCUUCCCCCUACCAUCUCAAGCAGCAGCAUUCCAAAACUAUAGACGUCCGACUUAUAGGACACAUUUCCGAAGUUCCUGGAGAACACUUCAGGUGCAAUGUAGCCCAUAGUCCCUCUAGCUAUAGUCAUGGACACUAUGCUUUGAUCCUUAGAACACAACUUGGCCAAACCAAAAUCAGAAAUUUUUGGAGUGAAAUUGUCGUCUAAUAAAACAUUAUGAGGCUUGAUGUCGAAAUGGAGGAUUCGUUGAUCACAUUCCUGAUGAAGAUAAUAAAUUCCCUUGGCUACAGCAAGAGCAAUAUCUUGCAACUUGUCCCAACCAAGAAAACGAUUGUUAUUGUCUGCCGAUGAAAUGAAAUAGUGCAGUGAACCAUUGGCGAAGAACUCAUAAACGAGAGCUCCGUUAAAUCGAUCAGCACAGAAACUAACCAAACGAACCACGUUGACAUGGUGGAUACGUCCCAUCAUUCCAACUUCCUUUAUGAAAUCUUCCCCGUUUCUGUUGGAACUAUUGAGAACUUUUACAGCGACAAAGCAUUCAGAAGAAAGCUUUCCUUUGAAAACAGUUCCAUAGGCUCCUUGGCCUAACUUGUCCUGGAAUUGGUUUGUGAUCCUCUUAAUGUCCGCGUAGGAAUACCUGCUUGGUUUGUGAGCUUUGUAAUCUUCUAAAAACUUGUCAAUCUUUAAUUGGCUCUCCUUUUCUUUUCGAUUAGAACUAUAGACACGAUAGGCUGCAACAACCAGUACUAAUACAGCAAAUGAUCCCAGGGAUGCACCUGCACAUUAAUUAAACAAAUCAUCGAGUAAAUUAUAGUAUUCCCGACAUGGUCUAAAUAGACAUGAAUUCCUUGUUGCACCUGAAAGAAAAUAAUCAGUUAGACAACUCACAUGUUGCCACUAAUUUUCUUGUUGCACCUGAAAACAAAGAAUUGAAAUUAAGUAAAUAGUUUGCAGGGCUAAUUGAGCUCAUAUUCUGGAUGGAAGAAAACAAUGAAUUUCUCAUGACUGUUUGCACGCAGUUAAUUCAAAUCCAUGUCAAAUGUGUUGCAUCUAGUUAUUUGAAAUACAAAACUCAAUAUAUGUAAGUAGAAUAUAUUUCAAUAAAUAUUUUUCUAGAUAAGUAGAAUAUAUAUGUAAAACGAAAUCAACACUAAAUAUAUAUGCAGCCUUACUGGCUUUCUUCAAGUAAACGCAUUCAAUUUCUGCGUACCCGGCGGCGUACAAUUCUACAACUGUUGCCUUCCGCUUCACAUUCUGCACAAUUUGGUUUAUCCCAUUUGAAAAGAGGAUCACCAUUCGCGCCCGCACUUGGAACCGACAAAACAUCGUACAUCUUUGUACAGGACUCGAGGGCCAGCGAGUCCCAAAGAAAAUAGUCAGAUGAAAGGGCAUACACUCUGUAGCCAGGGCCACCUAUGCAGGGAACUGGUGUGUCUAAUUCUCUUUCAACAGGACAGUGGAAUAAGGUAUAGUUUCUGGUAAAAAAGGGGAGGAAGUAGAAUUGAGAGGCUGUCAAUGGCAUGUUGAUGUUGUCAACUUCUAAAGGCUUUAGUAGCAGGCAAUUAUACGGUUUAUGGACUUGGACUUCCUGAUUUUUGUAAUCUAUGCGUUUCACCAAGAAUUUCAUCACUACCACUCGGUGCUCCUGUCCGCCGUCACCCUCAUUCGCAUGGCAAUCAGUUGGCCGACCACAGUGAUGUCUGCGGUGAAACGGGAAAUGGAUAGCCUUGCCAUGAUUGCCGCAUUCGGACUCCGUGCACGUAUACGCAUUUUGGGUUGCUCUGAGAAUUGUAAACAAAGCAAUUAAGAAUAUGCGAGGCCAAGAGAUAUCGAGCUCUUGCUGCUGCAUUUCUGAGGUUUUUCCCAUGGAUUUCUUCUAAGCAAUGGUAGGUCUAUGUAAAUAGAGAGUAUUUUUUAUUAAGUUCAGCUUCACGGAAGAUGUUCUUACAAAAACUAACAACCAAAGAUUCAAUUAAUUACACAAGAAUUACUCGGAAAGCAAGCACAACUGCAGUUUCAUCGAAGGUGCUCUUACAAAAACUAAUUAUUGUUCAACACAAAAGACUUUGUAGAGCACUUGACCAUAAAAAAGCAAUUGAUCGAUCGGGUCUCAAUCAAAGACUCAUUCACAAUUAAUUAUUGUUGUGUCCUGUCCUGUCCUCUGUGUGGUUCCAUUCACGGUUACCUCAAGGACCGCGUCUAAAAAAUGCGACUUUAUAUGGAAUUUAUGUCACCUUAUAUUUUUGCACAUUACUUUAUAAUAUUAGCACGAAAAUUAGCAUUAAAUUGUAAACGAGCAGAGAAUCUAUGAAGAGUUUCAUUUCGAGAGAGUCUCAUUAGACCAUCUCCAAAGGAGAUGUAAAAAAUGUCACUAGACAUAUAAUAGUAACAAAUGACGUACCAGUUACUCCAACCGAGAUAUCAAAGCUAAAAUGGAAAAUAUGGCUAGCUGUAGACAAAGAUAUGUCAAAUUUGAAGUUGCCUUCAAAUAUGGUUUUUGUUAUUUUCAAAGGCAUUCUUCUUGUCUCACCUUUUUUUUUUUUUAGUACAUCGAUACUUUUACACUAGGGAGAUGAGGAGUUCGGUUAAGCCACACAAUGGGCAGCCUAAUUUGGUAUCGAAUUCGUCAUCCACGAGAUUCUAAGACUUCUCACUUCUAAGUAAAGAGGAAUACCACAAAACCGUAAUACUGAAUAGCUACUUGUCUUACCUUAAAUGUUAGCAUAUUUAAAUAUUAUUUUAUUAUUUUAAACCGAUAACAACUCAACUUUCAUUAUUUUUGUUUAAAAAAACAUAAAUGAAGUAAUAAAUUUUGGCAUAUUAGGUGGAAGAAAAAUAUUAACAAUAUGUCAAAUUAUCAAGUCAACCAUCAAAUUAAAAUUUAAUAUUUUAAAUUUGACAUUUUUUUUUGAGAAAUGCUUUCUCAUUAUUUAUUGUUUUGGUAAAAUACCUAGUUCCACAGCGGAAAUUACCUUUUCUGUUGUAAAAUCGAUGGUGUGUGCAGUGGAAUAAACAAAUAAGACACAAUAUUUACGAGGUUCCUCUACAGUCAGUGUGACUGGAGUACGUCCUCGGGGCAGCAGCAAUGCUUUUAUUUAUAAUCUGAAGUAAUAAGAUUACAAAGAUAACUCCCCUCUCUCUUUUCUCCCUUUCUGCCGUGAGCCUUGUGGCUUCUCACUUCUUCCUCUCUUCUUCCUUUUAUCACCACAUUUUAAACACUUGUAAUGCUCUAUUUAUAGAGCAAACAUUUUGAAAGCAAACAAAACACUAUUAAACUUUUGAAAGGUUUACUAUAUGCAUGUGGGCAUACAUACCCACUAUUUACAACACUCCCCCUUGGAUACCCACAUAAGUCUUUAAUUAACUUGUUAAAAUCUUGAUCUGUUUUUAAUGCUCCCCUUGAUAAGUAUCUCCCCCUAAUUUCAAAUCAUUUAGGCUGAUCGUUGAUCAUUCUGUUUCAGUCUCUUAGUAAGAAGAGUUGCCGAAAGAGGUGCUUUACUUGUUGUUAACUUUCCACGGGCUUGUUCUAGAACUAGGCUGGAGGGUCUUCUACUAGACUUCCUACAAAGGUCUGAAUUUACUUCUUUUAUCUGGAGCUAAAUUUAAUUCAAGGGUGGUGGACACUUGAUCUUGAAUCAAACUUGUGAUUUCUUCAAGGACCUUCGAGACUUGAUCUUGAAUGAAGUUGUACCGUGGGGAGCUUCACAUGGCAAGUGAUCUUCGGCUUUGUCGGGGAUGAAUCAGCACAUGUUUAUUGCGCUUGUCUCCACAUACUUCAAUGUAUCAUUUUCACUUGCCUUACUUGUUCCCCUUGCUUAAGUAGUAUUUUCCCUGGUUUUCCCCAUGCAUGUGUGGCAUAUUCUCCUAUAGUAUUUGCUCUCUGAUGCAGGAGUGGAAUGCAACCCUUACAUUUGGAUGGUUCAUCACUUCUUGGUGACUGGAGACCCAACUCCAACAACAGUUGAAGAUGACUACUCGAGAGCAAUACUAGGUAAGCAAUCAGGAAAGGUUACAGGCAGUCAGUUCCUUACCGGAAGUUUGAAUGGAGGUUCCGACAUAUUGCUUUCUUUAUCCUUGUCUUUGCAGGUAAGAACAAGGACAAAGGAAAGGACAGGGAGAUUGCAUGAUAUGAGAUACUUUUGCUCUCAUCCCUGAUGAUAUGAGAUAUUCUUGCUCUGGUGUGACUUGUUUUAAAGAGGUAUUCUCGGAGAGGAAGAAAAUUGAGUAUUUCGAGAUGCUGUGUUGAAAAUGUAUUCUCGGAGAUGAGGAAGAGUUGGACAUUCUUGCAAGUCUGCCUUGUUAUGGAGAACGGAGGUCAACAUAUAUAGAGAUUUCCCCAAUAGCAGGUAGUGGUGUGGAUGUGGCUUUGUCAUCCACGCUUGUUGGCAACAUUGUUCUAGUUGGAAUAGUAAGAUUUACACGUUUUCAACUUUGUCAAAGAUCUUUGACAAAGUUGCACGCGAUAUCAAAAAAGGCUGAGAUUGCAUUUGAAAAUGCCAACGAACUUUAUUCAGGAAAAUCUGGUUUUUGAAAUUCGGAAAGUGGUGCCUCUUCGAUCUCUGAACAAGUGGCUCUGCUACCUCUUCUUUUAUAAAGACAUCAAUUGUGUUCAAGAGUAUAAAGUUGCUGCCUGUAGAAAUUUUCCCCUUCUUGCACUUCUGAAAUUUUAUUUGACCUCAUUUUUCCUUCAUCAUUUCUGAAAAUGACUUGCCCAUCUAACAUUUGCUUAGAUUUGAGUCUUAGGAGUGAUACGGACGAGCAUCGUCAAGAUAAUAUAUGGCGUCCGUCCUUCUUAUCUUCUAAUGGUCCUCUUAUAAUUGGGGACUCUGUGGUGAAAAAUAGCAUAACCGUUAUUGUGGUAGCUAGGAAUCUUCUCACUCCAAAGGAUAACAGAAUCCUUUUAAAACGGUCUAAUGAGUUGGCCGUUCAAGACUCCUUGGCUCUCAGUGUUCAGUGUGCUGGCUUUGUUUCCAAUAUGGGGCAACGCCUACUUGCUCAAACUCACCAAGUUGAAUCAUUGAUGGCUGAGGUGGCAAGUCUUAAACAAGAGAUCUGAGGGCUCAAGCAUGAGAAUAGAGUGUUACACGUGCUUGCAAAUAAUUACUCGACGAACAUGAAAAGAAAGCUAGACUAGCUGCAAGAAUCCGAAAGUCGGAUUCAAAGUGAUCACCAGAGGUUCGUUGCUAGAUUCUAAAAGCAACUGAUGCAUUCCCCUUCUGGUGUUUUGCCAAGUACUGGGGUGCCACAUGAUCAAUCUCUAAUGCCUUCUCCUUCUAGGGUACUUUCGAGUAUUGAGGCUUCACAUAAGCAACCUUUGUGAAUGCUUCAUCCUGGUUGUUUGUUUUAACUCAUGUGUAUGUAUAUAUCUGUAAUUUCUCGGAGAUAUUAAUAGAUAAGCUUUAUUUCAUUCAGUGUAUUGUGCUAAAUACAAUAAAGCAUAUACUUCACCAAGAUGUGGUACUUCUGGACCAAAUAUCAAUUUAUCUUUACCCUCACGAAGAUAAAUGAUCUUUCUUAGUGUCUACAUCAUUUGAGUAUUCAACUCAUAAUCUUCAAUCCAUGGUUCUUUUAAUAUUAUAAACAUCAUGGAUAAGAUUCGUGUUGGUAAAUUGUUCGAUCUGCAGUCCGAGACAAUAUUUCUCUCAACACUUUAUAAUCUUUCUUGACUCUUUAGGAGUCUCAAUUUAAUAUCAUCAACUCUUCAGGAAUUCUAAUUUAAUGUCAUUAACUUUUGCAAGAGAUUUUAGUAUGUUGCAACAAUAUCAUAAUGAUAGUACUCACUAAGGAAAUUUAUAUCAUCCAUUAGUAUUGAGUACAUAAUUCAUGUUUUACCCUUCCGGGGCUUACUUCAAGCAAUUUGAAUCAUUCAAGGAUUUUCUACACUUCAUGACAUAUUUUUCUUUGGAAUUUGUACAAAGCAACUUGCUCCCAUGUAUAAUUGGGGGAUUUACUUAUAGAGAUAUGAUGUGGCUGACUCACAACCCUUCGU